This 49909-nucleotide long non-coding RNA is filed under the name Ananas comosus (pineapple). RNAcentral's name for it is "long non-coding RNA (ACOM_LNC030921)". The stretch from base 6106 to 6179 matches the Rfam family "tRNA". Lineage: Eukaryota; Viridiplantae; Streptophyta; Magnoliopsida; Poales; Bromeliaceae. The record is from RNAcentral.
AAAAACAAAGUAAAAAAAAAAAAAGAAGAAGUUAUAAGCAUUUUGUUUGCCAAACGUUUGUUUUUAUAUAAAUAAGCUGUCUCAAAAAUCAGACCAAAUAAUGAAAAAUAAAAGAUUGUAUGAUUAUUCUAAUCAGUAAUAUCAGUAAUUUUCGCCUUUUCUUUUUUUGGAUGCCCUGGUUGUCUUUACCAUCGUUGCUAAGUUCAUAUCUCCUUAAUUAAUGAAAUGAGUACCUGCCUACAUCUUCCUCAAAAAAAAAAAAAAAGGGAAAAAAAGUAAUUUUAGUAAGAAGCUAAGAACUGUACUAAUGUAACACAACAUAUAUACAACAUCAAAGUUGGCAAAUUUCAAUUAAUUCCUCACCAAUUCUGUCACAUAAUUCACCAGCAAAUGCACACACACUCCACAGGAAUAAGAAUCAUCUCCUUGUCAUAUUUUUCUCACACAGUUAUUCCUGGAGCCAAAUUAAUUAAGAUUUGUACAAAAAUCCUGCAGAGCAGCAGUUCCAGAAAUGUGCAAACACCAACAAAUCCCAAAAAAGCAGUGAUAAGACAUCACUGGCUCUUAAUGUCAUGUCAUGUUAUUAUUAUGUUAUGUUAUGUGGCUUCUUUUUUUUUUUUAAUAUAUAUAUAUAUAGCCGGCUAUAUAUAUAUAUAUAUUAAAAAUGACUAAAAGUUUAAAUCUAACAGUGGAAAACUCGAUAAUAUCAAGCCCUUAGUGCUAUCGAUAGUAUACCAGCCGGACUCUCUCUCUCUCUCUCUCUCUCUCUCUCUCUCUCUCUCUCUCUCUCUNUGGCCAUUGGUUGAAGUGGGCCUCCAAAAGUUAAGAUAAUGUGGGCCUCCAAAGGUUGAGUGAGUUGUUGGUUGAAUAGUAUAAUCUAACGGAUGAAAAUAGUAAAAGGGUUAAAUCUCACGGCGGAAAACUCGGUCGCACCAAGUGCUUAGUGCUAUCGAUAGUAUCCCAGCCGGAUAUAUAUAUAUAUAUAUAUAUAGAGAGAGAGAGAGAGAGAGAGAGAGAGAGAGAGAGAGAGAGAGAGAGAGAGUCUAGCUAUGGUGCUUGUAAAAGCACCAAGCACUUGAUACUUGUAAGUUUUUUACCGUUAGAUCUUUGUCUUUAAUCAUUUUCAACCGUUAGAUUAUACUAUUCAACCAACUACCCACUCAACCCUAGGGGGUCCACAUCAUCCCAACCGCACAUCCCUUAAUCCAAGGGCCCAAAACUUACAAGUACCAAUGACUUGGUACUUUUAAAAGCAUAGGAGCUCAAUUAUAUAUAUAUAUAUAUAUAUAUAUAUAUAUAUGCCCUUUCAUUUAUAUAAUGUUCCACCCUUGAUUAUUCCUGAAACAUGCUCUCACUCUUUGAUUUAAUUUUAAAAAAGUGCAUGAUUAUGGAGGAUAUGGCAAGAAAGAUCAACAUCUAAGCACUAAGAAAAAGAUUGGCCGCUUUAUCGGACAUAUGGAGCUUUAUACCAUACGCUGGCUUGAAGGGGCCAGCAUCUUGUCCUACGGCGGAAGGUCGGGUUUGGCCAAGUUAUGUUCGAAAUGGCGUAAGACUGAUUGGGCCGAGUCACAAUCGAAACUCGUGGGUGCUGUGUCUGUAUGUUUUAAGCGGAUUGGUUGUAUCUUUCUACCAGCUCGAACUUUUGAAAUUAAUGGUUAGCGCUAACGAUCCGACACUAUAAUCUAACAAUCCUCAUGUAACACUCUUGGAAAUGCAUCUUAAUAUAUAUAAAUAAAUAUCAGCUUCUAAGCACUCAAUAUUUGAUUAUGAGGAACUGCUAUUGGUGGAGAAAAGAAUGGUUUUUAUGGGAUUUGAUGAGAUUCUUGGCCCUUCAACAUAAGUACUAAAUUACUAAACUAAGGUUAGUGGUGAGAAUGGCUUUUGCUUAUGUUUGUUGGCAAUAAACUAGCCAAUGGUUUCCAAAAUAUCAUAACAAGGCGGCGACCAAUGGCGCAGCGCCAUGUGUGUUGCACUUUUGUAACAUGCUAUGCAUAAAGGUUUGGCUCUUAUCUCAAAUUGAAGUGUGAGUGUGACAUGCAUGUAUGGCACUUUCUAUUGAUCAGUCACAUUUAUCUAAAGAGAUUUUGAGUUUGACUCAGCGCAUUUUCCUAAGCGGAUUCCACGCGGAGGCAUGCGAUCGGCGCUGACAAAUUGAUCUGCGCGAAUUCGAUCUUUCUGAUGUAAGAGGAGACUGAAAGAUUUCGACGAUAAUCGCGAAUUCAUCGCCAUUUAGGGAGCUGAACAAAUAUGUGCAAGAGAAUUUCAAAAAGGAAAGUUGCAUGAACAAGAAAGAGAGACUAAAUAAAAUUAGAUAUCCAAUGUGCCCGAAAAAGCGAUUCCGAAGAAGAUAUCUUUUAAUUUUGAAAAGAAAGUAACAGGUAAAGAAGCAUCAUCUAUGUAGCCACUAAAAGCGCGAUUUCUAGGCCAUUAGAGAAAAGAAAAAAGGCACUUAGAAUUGGUUGAGGACCAAGGAUCAGAUCCUAAGUUGUCAGAGUGAUGCCGAGAGGCCCGAGUUCCUGGAGAUCGAAAUAGACAAUUGGCCACUGAGAGGUUCCCCAAUCCUAAGCUAAGCUGACCCCCGCCACGCAUUCUCCGAAGUGGAUUCUACCACCGAUAAUGACGUGCGUGGCGCGCGACGAUUGGCCAACCAAAUUGUUCUUGUUUCUUCAUUGAGCUAUCCGCUGCUAUAUGAAGCUCACUGCCCCCCGUCAGAUACCGCUGUCAUUGCCUCGCGAGCACGAGAGCAGCAACAACCGCGAAGCUAGUCUAAACUAGUGGAGGGUUGUGUGCAAAGUGCGAAGAAGUAAGAAGAGAGAACGCGGGACGUGCAAAUGGCUAGAGGUAAGGUGCAGAUGAGGCGGAUCGAGAACCCCGUGCACCGUCAGGUCACCUUCUGCAAGCGCAGGGGAGGGCUCCUCAAGAAGGCCAAUGAGUUAUCCGUUCUCUGCGAUGCGGAGAUCGGCGUCAUCAUGUUCUCCGCGAACGGAAAGCUCUACGAGCUCGCCACUAACGGGUUUGUGACUAUCAUUACAACUCCUAUUAUACAUAGAUAAGCUGAUUCUGAUUCCACUGGUUCACUGAUUUCUAUAUGCGGUUCUUGUUUUCGUUCGAGAAUUACAAGAAACAUGCAAAACUUGAUCGAGCGGUACAAGCGAAUCGGUGUGGAAGGCCAAGCGGAGAGCAGCGAAGUGAACCAAUCUCAGGUUCGUGCGAAAAUCGCGUCAUCAUGAUCAUGCAUGCCACUCAAUAAUAAGUCCUUGCAUAACAAUAGUAACAUCACAUUUUGUUUCAGUUUUUUCAAACUAUGCACCGAAUUAAGAACUUAUAAACUAAGAAAACAGUGUGUUAUUUUGGUAGAUUUCUCAAAUGAUCUCUUGCUUUUUUGUUCUGAGUAGUGCGCAAAAUCUACGAUUGAUCAGAAAAAAAGCAAAGUGAGAUAAUAUGCUUAUUGUAGAGGUAUUCGAUCUCUUCCAAUGAAAAGGACAUUUAUUCUAGAGUUGAUAGUUCUCUGUACAUGAUUCCUAGAGAGAACAAAUAGUAUAGUGUGCGAUGAUUCGUAGGCGAUAUCUGUGUUGCUUAAGAAACAAGCUAACACCCACUUAAGCCACAUCUAUGUUACUUUAUAAGGAUCUCAAUUCUCAAAUGUUACUUUUUGGCUCUGCACAUCACAAACAAGCAUCUAUGUAUUUGGCUAUCGGAAAUUUGGUUCACUAAUUAAGAUUCUAAGUGUGAGUUCCUAAGAUAUCUGAGCAUGGCGCUCGAUCAGUUUCUGAGACAGAUAUAAUUGGUUCAUUUAUUUAUACCAAACUAAGGUACAAAAGAUACAUUUUGUAAUGAAUACCGAAGAAAAUAACAUCUGAUCUAGUUUUAUCGACAGCGUACUUAUGUACAUUUUUGUCGCAUCAGGUUGCUGAACAAGAGGUUUUCAUGCUGAAGCAAGAGAUUGACCUGCUUCAGAAAGGUUUGAGGUAAGUAAUACGAAAGCUCGUGUAUGCUCAUGAAUUCGUAUGAUAGGUUGUAUGAGAUUGUAACAGUUUAAGCUAUACUAAUUGCAUCAGCCAAGUUCGCAUGCUCCUUACUAUUUGAAAAGUUGCAUACGCCGUUAAGUUGAUAACAAAGUUUUAAAGUUUAAGUAACCCUUUAUAAUCCAAAAGAGGCGAUGACGGUACUUUGUUUUUGAUGAUCAAAGAACGGUCGAUCAAAAGUACAACACAAGCUUGGGCAAACCCUGUUUCCUUCAUCCGUAAUUUGGCACCGCAGUUUAUUGAAAGCGAGCUAAGUUCAUAGGAGCCAUUAAUUGGUUAGGGAGAGAACAUCGAGAACAUACCAUGUUUCCAAAAAUCAUCCUGCGAAUGACGACAACUUUGAAAACAUUAUACAAAAAGAUAUGAACACAUAUUCUAAAGAAGACAUAAUGAAGCGAAACAUGUAAAGAGAAACCUCUAAGAAGAGCCCAGUACAAAUUUAUGAUACAUUGUAUUUGUUGAACAUAUAUUAAAAACACCGUUCUCUGACAGUUUAAGCUUUCAGAGAAAGACGGCUGUUUCAUAUAACUUAACAUAGUAUCAGAGCACGAUGAGGCAGGUACAUAUAUGGAGACGGAACGGCGGCGCACAUGACAUUCGACGAAUUGCAAGCCGUGGAACGGAACCUCGAAGUUUGGAUAUACAAUAUCCGCUCUACGAAGGCGAGGAUCCUAAAUUUUUUUUUUUUUUUUCCUUUUCUUUUAAUUUUCUUUUCGCUAUCUCAAUAGUUGAGGAUCUAACUGCACACCCUUUUACCAAAGCAGAUACAGAUCAUGGCCCAGGAGAUUCAAAUGCUCAGGAACAAGGUUAGCAGUUCAACACCAAUCCAUUACAUUCCAUCCGCUGUCGAAACCGAAAACUAAAAGCAUCGAGCGACUCAGCUUUUCCGAAAUACCAUAUUAUUAUUCACCGAAUUCGGCGCUUUUUGAUUGAUGCUCCUUUGAUUACACAGGAAGGCAUACUGAAGACCGCGAAUCAAAUCCUCCAAACAAAGGUACUACUCAAGAACAUAAAUAAAAAUUGGCCUUAAAAACACAUUCAAACACAUUCAAAAAAUAGUACACUAGGGAGUUCAAUUCCAAACAAGUUACAUAAACCGGAGAUUAAUGACUAUAAAUUUGAUCAAAAAACCAGUGAUCUGAUAUGUUAUAAACUUUUUUUUUUUUAACUGCGCAGAUAAUCGAGCAGAACGGGCUUUUCGACGUAAGCAUGAUGAUAGCAGAUGCUCCAUACCCACUAACCAUAUCCAACAACCAACCCAAAGUUCAAUAGGAGCCUCCCCUUCAUUAUCUUGUUUUAUAAAUAAUCCAAAACUAAAUUAGUUGCUGUUCACUAAAACUAUUGUAGUGUUCUUGUUUAGAGCAUGUUCUAGGAGUGUAUAUUUAUAUUUAUAUAUACAUAUAUAUAUUUCCCUAGUAUAGUUAUAUUAUUAUUGUUAUGAUUAUUUAAGUUCUUAAGAACUUGUUUUGCAUUUCUUGUGGUGAUUUAUCAGAUUCUGCUACUACUCUUCGCAAAUCUCACACAUGCAAAUGAUUGCUCUAUGUUUAUAUAUGUAUAAUGAAUUUUUUUUUCGCGAACAAAAUGGGAUCAAUUCGAACUCAGGAGGAGUCGGGAGCUUCUGCUCUGAUAUCAUGUGAAACGAUCAUUUUCUCAGAAUGUUGCUGUCGACGACAGCAACAUAUCCCGCGACCUCUAAUUUCUUUUCUAUUAUAAUUCGAGUUCUCGUAGUUAGUUAAAUUGAUAAUUUUGUCAAUUUUCCUGUCAUUUAGGCUCGUGCUUGAACAUGCUACUGAUUAAAUUAAACACAAAAAAAAAAAAGAUGAGCUAAAAAAAACAUAAAGCAUAUUAUUUGACCAAAAAUUAAAAUGGGGAAAAGGAGUGAGGUUUAGGGUUUAUGACAUUGGGCGCUCGUAGUAGCAUCAACGGGUGAGUUACAACUGAAGUCGGCGGCGAGAUUGCUAAGCUUGCCGACUACAUGGGGAGAGUCGGCGACGAUAAAGAUUCCAAUGCCGGAUUCGAUAAAUAUUUAUAUUUGUUUUAAAAAAUAUAUAUAAAUUCGUAAUAUUUUUUUUUAUAAAUUGGUCCCGUAGCUCAGUUGGUUAGAGCGCUGGUCUUAUGAGCCGGAGGUCGCGAGUUCGAGCCUCGCCGGGACCAAAAUUUAAUUUGAAUUUAAAUUAUAAGUUUUAAAUAUUUAAAAUUUGCCAAGAAAUUUCAAUAAAUCUCUGAUUUUUUAAUUAUUAUGCUUAAAUAAUCAAAGUUUAUUUAAAAAUAUUGAAAUGGCGAGACCAAAUUUAAUUUUCAUUUUUAGUUUUAAAUAUUUAAAAUUUGCCAAGAAAUUUCAAUAAAUCUCUAAAUACCUGUUUAAAUAAUCAAAAAUUUAUUUAAAAAUAAUAUUCACUACAUAGAUCAAAUCUACUAAAUAAUUUCAAUAAAUAAAUCUCCAAUUAUGUGUUUUAAAUAUUUAAAGACCAAUUUUAAUUUUAAUUUUAAUUUUUAAAUAUUUAAAAUUUGCCAAGAAAUUUCAAUAAAUCUCUAAUUACAUGUCUAAAUAAUCAAAACUUAUCUAAAAAUAAUAUGUUUGGGGUUCACUACAUAGAUCAAAUUUACUAGAUAAUUUCAAUAAAUCUCCAAUUAAGGGUUUUAAAUAUUUAAAUUAUAUUUAUCUACAAAAUUUAUCUAUACUUAAAAUUUGCCAAGAAAUUUCAAUAAAUCUCUGAUUUAUUUAUUAUGUUUAAAUAAUCAAAAAAAAUUAUUUAAAAAUAUCGAACUGGCGAGACCAAAUUUAAUUUUAAUUUUUAGUUUUAAAUAUUCAAAAUUACCAAGAAAUUUCUAUAAAUCUCUAAAUACCUGUUUAAAUAAUCAAAAAUUAUUUAAAAGUAAUAACACUACGUAGAUCAAAUCUACUAAAUAAUUUCAAUAAAUCCCCAAUUAUGUGUUUUAAAUAUUUAAAGGCCAAAUUUAAUUUUAAUUUUUAGUUUUAAAUAUUUAAAAUUGGCCAAGAAAUUUCAGUAAAUCUCUAAUUACAUGUCUAAAUAAUCAAAACUUAUUUAAAAGUAAUAUGUUUGGGAUUCACUACAUAGAUCAAAUUUACUAGAUAAUUUCGAUAAAUCUCCAAUUAUGGAUUUUAAAUAUUUAAAUUAUAUUUAUCAACAUUUGUCCAUAAAUUAACUUCUUUAUCGUAAUGCAAUUAUUUUUUUUUGAAAAUAAUAUAAUAGCUUAGAACUAAUAAAUAAUUCAAUUUAUUACUUCACUAGUUUAAAUUUAAUUACUUCACUAUUUAUUAAAAAAAUUGCUUCACUAUUUUUCAUAAAUUAACUUCUUUCUCAUGAUCCAAUUAAUAUAUUUUUGGAAAAAAAAUAGAGUAGCUUAAAAGUAAAUAAAUAAUUUAAUUUAUAUUUUUCUUUGCCCCAUUUAAUUAACUUCUUAUCAUAUUUUGUAGAAAUAAAUAUGAAAAGCAUAAUAAGAAUAUACGUGCUAUUCGAUAUGUUUACAUAGAUAUGAAAUUAUUCCUAAAAAUUAAUGGUUAGGGCCUAAAGUAAAAAAUUGCGAAAGUUUAGGGACCAAUAUUACAAUUAUUCAGAAACAAAUAGUUGUUUUUUUUAGGGAUAUAUGUGCAAAAAUUACUCUGUGUUUUCAGUAGUUGCACACAGCUUGGAAAAAUCCCAACUUUUCGCCCGCCCCCAAACGCCGCAAUAAAAAAGGCGGGGGCGGGAGCGAGAGCGCGCGCGCGCGGGAAAGGAUGCGGUUCGCGGUGACGAAGGCGUGUGGCGGGGGCGGGAAGGCGCGCGCCGGCGCCCUCUACGUCGGCGGCGGCGGCGGUGGCGGCGCCGCCGUGGUGGAGACCCCGUCGCUCCUCCUCUCCACGCGGAAGGGCCUCCCCGCCUUCGUCUCCCGGGAUCUCCUCUCCACCCUCCCAUCCCCCGAUUCCCACCUCCUCCACGUGAGUCCUAUCCACUUGUAAGAGACCCCCCUCUCUCUCUCUCUCUCUCGCUCUCUCUCUAGAGGUGUGCUUUGAAGGUGUUCGACUAAAUGCCUCUUAGUAAAAAGUUGGUGGUGUGUGGAUGUGUGAUCUCCCUUUUGUUUGUUUCACUCCAAUAUUACUCGUUCUUUGGUAAAAAUGGCUCCUUUAUAUGUCACCUUCUUUGUGCUAUGCUACUAUGACGAUUCAGAGAAGUGUUGAUUCUUUGCAUGCGCGCCCAGGCAAAUAUGUAAAAUUGUGCAAAUUCCCCUUCGAAGUUUGCUAUUUUCACUUGUUGUAUCCGUGAAAACCUUGGUUAUAUAAAGAUUAUCCUGGCCGGGGCGCGUGUGCAAAUCAACAACGUUUUUCGGUAUACUUGGAUAAUUACUUACCUUGCAGUGUUAUUUGCACAAUGUUGCGUAUUUCCGAGGGCAUUUAUGCGAAAUUCUCUUUAGAGAAUAUCCUGUGCAACACUUGUUCACUGCUAUCAAUGCCAUUCCUAUCUGUGUCAUUUGUUACUUUUCUUAUUGCAAUUUUGUUUCCUGCGAUCAUCGAAAUUGUCAAAUGCGUUUUGCUAAGAAUUAUUGUCUUUGCGACUCGCAAUUCGAACCCAUUAGUUGCAUUACACUGUCUUGACAUGUUUAUCUUUCAAAAUCAUACCUUUUUUUUGGUUUUUUCCAAGCAUAUUUUAUUGCGCAGAUGCAAUUCUUAGAUUUCUACACUUACUUUCUUCUAACUGUUUGAGAUAUAUGUAUGCAGCAUUGAGUGCCCUUCAUCGAAAACUAUUUCAAAUAUUGGUGGUUUGCAUCAGAUGCUAGGUUUACAAGAACAUAUCUUAGUAGCCGCAGCGAGUGAUUCGGUUGAGAGUCUACCGGAAAGCGAAGCCUCCAACAAACUUGGAGCAUCAUUCGAAACACCAUCCGGUCGCCGAUUGGUAGUCCUUUAAAUGGUUUUUGUCAGCUCGAAUCACCUUGCUUUUUCAUAUUUUGCAUUUUCGCUAAAUUUGGUUAUCACCUUUCUUUGCUAGGUCAAACCUUCAGAAUACAUGCAAAUGAUUACUUCCAUGAAGCCUAACUUGUGGGCAAGUUUGGCGGAUGAGGUGCCCGCAUGGGUUACUGAGAAGCGGAAUAGAAUUUCUGUUGAUAGAACGCUACGCUGGCUCGAUGAUUGCCUUGCUGUGGACUUGGUGGGUGACAAUUCGACAUGUUUUGUAGCCUGUGGCUUUUAAAAUGUUGCUUUAGUUAGAGAACUCAAUUUAUGCGGAAUUACGGAAAGUGAGAAGCUUCAUGUAUUUUGAUAUAAAGCACAAUGGAUAUUCCGAAGUUGAUGAAUUCUAUGUGCUAUUAUUACUUUUUCAGUUUUUCAGUAAUGUUUUCUUGGUUGUUUGAUUAAAACUAUCCGAGUUCACUAAUAUUUGCAAUUUGUGAUGGUAAGGAAGCUGGGAAAAACACGUUGGGCGCUGUUGUUGGAGGAUCCAAUAUAGAUGAGCGGAAGCGUUGUGCAACUGAAGCGUCGCUACGAAAUGUAGCAGGUAUUCUAAUUUUCAAGUUUGUGCUUAUGGCAUGGGCCAGACCUUUUCUUUUUUCAGGCCUUUUCAAUUUUAGUAGUUUGGUGGUCCUUAUUAGUGCAUUUCAACGAAUAUAAAUAGCGAAAUAUGAUGAAAUUGCGGGUUAACUAUUCAAAAUUAAUUUUGCUUAUGUGAUGAGAUUAGUAACAAAUAAUGAGUGGAUAUUAUAGAUCCACUUACUGCAAUCAUUUGUUUGGGUGAUGGAACUUGCUGAAUUCAAGGAUUAGUUAUGAGAAAUUGUGGUAUUUCCUUUUUUUUUUUUUUAACUGUCAAUUAACUAGAAAGAAUUAUUUGAUAAAAGUAUUUGGAAAAAUAUGUGCAGAUUGUUUGAAUGUGCGAAUCUGAGCUUCCUUGAUACAAUUACAUGACGGAAUUUGAUAAAAUUUAUGAUUAUUUUUUUUUUCAAAUAAUUGAUUUUCUAACUUAAUACCUAUUUUCAUUAACUACAAAUAGUAAUACAAGUUGGUUUAAAUUAGCAAAAAUUGUGGGACAAUCUUUUAGAAAUAUUUAGUUUAUUUUGUGCUAAAAUUGAGCUGGUAUGGUUUUAUGAAACUAACUGUAGCUGGUGUAGAUAGGAACUUUGAUAUAAAGUUCUUUCAUAAGCACCGUGAGUCCAGUGCUUCCACUUUUUCUCAUGUUGGAUUUGGAUUCAGAUCCCUUCGGAAAAGUAGAAGCACUGGCCAGGGGUUGCUAGAAAAAGAAUUUUCUUAUCCUUAGUUUCUUCUUUCAUAAUUUCAGUUUUCUAAGAACCCAUUUAGUACUUUAGCCAUUCUAGGAAUCCUAUCUCGGAUGCUGGCGAAUUGAGCUGUUUAAUAAUUUACUACAGGUUUCUGGAUUGGAGGGUUUGGCCUGGGAGAGAGUAUGGAAGAACGGUUGGCUUUGCUUAAUGCUGUUACGGUAAGUGACUGAACCAUUACUCGGUCUACAUUUGAUUGGUAUUGGGAUUAUUCAACUUUUCAUCUGCUAUCUAUUGCAAAUGUAAAAUCUCAUCGUUUUUUACUCCAAGGAUUCUGUGGUGUUAAUUGUGAAUUUGGAUUGUUUAUUUAUUCAUUAUUUUUUAAAUAAUCUUUUCAUGGCUGUAGAAAAAUCUAAAGUUGGUUUCUCUUCUUUUAGGAUUGCUUACCAGAAGAAAAACUGCGCUAUGUAUCUAGACUUUCGCUUCCAGGUACUGAUGUUACUUUGUUUCUCCAACUAAUGCUUUUAGUCUCGAUGCAAAAGUCGGUUUGAUGUCGCCUCAUUUGUCCUCCUAGAUUUCUACCUUGGUUCAGUUAACAAAUGCUGAGGUCAAUUUUAUGAAAAACAAAUGAAAAAAAGGAGAAAAAGAAGUGCUGGUGUCAUUUUCAUUUUUUAUUUGGUUAAUUGUUUUUAAUUCAUGAUCCCCUCUUACAGAAGAGGUCUUGCAGGGUGUGGCUGCCGGGAUUGAUCUCUUCGACUCCACGUACGGAACGAACAUAAUUUUACUACUUUUUCUUACACCUCAUCUUUUCCUUACAGACAAAAUACACAUUAUGCAAUUGCAGAUACAUCUACCAUCUUACUCUUGGAGGGUUCGCACUUGUGUUUCCUCUCGACAUUGUCGAGAGAGACAAUUGGGAUUCUCGGACGGAUAUUGAAGGUGCGGAUUGCACAAAGAUAAACCUACGGGCAACGAUCUACAGGUGAUUAAUUUAUAUCAAUUCUUAAUUUUAUUCUCUUCACAACGAUGAUUCUACCCAAAAUCCUAGUGCCCGCUCUUUCGCGUUUAGCAUGAAACUGAUCUAUUGUCCGAAAUUUCUUUAAAACCUUUCUCUUAGAGAAAGCACACCUUACUGUGGAGCGAAGUUUGUCUAUGUGGCCCGGAUGUUAUAUCACCAUUGACUUCGCAUCUCGGAGCCAAAAAUAUUGGGAAAUGUAAGUUUAAUAUGCAAUCUCAUAGUUAUUAUGCACCGUAUUUUCUUUCUACAGGAAAGAUACCUCGCCAAUUGUCGAUCGUUGUGGCUGCUUCACAUGCCAGAAUCACACUCGAGCUUACAUUAAUCACCUGCUUAACGUCCACGAAAUGUUGGCUCAGAUCUUACUGGAAAUGUAAGCCGUCGUUUUGUUUCUUUCCCUAAUCUAAUCUCUAUAACAACUAUAAAAAGAAAAUUUUGGGGCCUGCUGAGCCCCGCCAUUUAGCUGUAGGAAACUACCAACAUUUACAUCAUAUAUUCUCACUCGCGCUAUUGUACGCAGACACAAUACUCACCACUAUCUCGGAUUUUUCCGCUUGAUGAGAGAAGCAAUCAAGGGAGGGAAGUUUGAGCUGUUCCGCCAACGGUUCAUAAAGAGGCGGCGUGCUUUCCUAACUGCAGAGGCGCCGUGCUCGUUAUAACCUGUCGUGGAUUUCGCUUCACAUUGGAGUGAUUUGUAAUCUCCAUUUUCGCGAUUACUAAAACUGGGGAUCUGUUCAAAAACUGCAGUUGUUUCGAUCUUUCGAAGCGAUAGAGGGAAGGAUACAAAUUUCAGAUUCUGCUAACUGGAGAAUAUUUGACACUCCGUCGAAUUCGCGCGCGAGUUCGUGCCUGUGAUUGUAUUUUUCCCUUGCAUUGUGGAUUUUCUAAUGCUAACCUUGCAAUUGCCCCCCUUAAUCCAAUGACAUUAAGCUUCUGUGAUACGUGGCAGAGCUCCAAAAGGUUAGAUGUUCUACGAAAGUGAGAAAGUGCAAAAUUUUCUGCGUCACCAUGUUGAAGGAAAACAAAUGUUGAAAAUUUAUUUCGUAGCCAUAUGGUAUUAAAAUAAUGGGAUAAUAUCAAAUAUAUCUCUCAACACUUCUGAAAUAUUUUAUAUAUAUAUAUAUAUAUUUUUUGUUUCAAAUAUAUUUUUCGUAUAUUUUUCUAUUAUUCAAAAAUAAUUUCGCUGGGGUUAAACCAACAUUAAAUUUUUACCGGAAUUGAAAAAAAAAUUAAAUUAUCUCUUUUGUCCCUAACUUAAGGAUAAAUAAGAGAAGUUGGUAACAGUAGAAGGGACAGUAAUUUUACAGAGAUGAUGGAUGUUCCUAACAGUUCAUUAAUAGAAUUUAAUUGUAAAAAUAUAUUUAAAAUAAUUUGGAAUGUUGAAAGGAUAUUUUUUUCAAUUACUAGCUUUUUAAGAGCGAUAAAUAAGAAAGUUGAAAAAUUUUAAGGAAUAUAUAAGCAAUUGCUCCUAAAAUAAUUUGUUCAAAAUUUAUUUUGUUUGAGAUUCCUAAGAUAGUUCAAAAUUCAUAAGAUUGGCAUGAAAAAUAUAAUAAAUUUUUUAAAAAAUCAUUUUACACAUCAAAUGUCUACUUCAGUCAUCAUCAUUGAGCUUUAUUUUGCACUUAUUUAACUUGUUACUUGGGCACCACCUUCUUACUCCAUUACUCUUGCAAAUUAAUCAUUUUAUAAUAUCUAAACCCCCACAACUAUAACUUUAUAUAAUCUUGAGCACUUGUGAGCCAUUUUAUAUUAGAUUUUAAAAAAACCUACAAAUAUUUUACUAUUGCCAACCAUUUAAAUAUGUACUCUUUUUUUUAAUGAAUCUUUGUAGUUUUAUAGCAACAAUGCUUAGUCCUCUGAAAUCCACCUUUGUAUUGACUUAGUGUAAUUAGUUUAAACAAAGACAGAUUACGUUUUUUUUCGAAUUCAGAACCUUUUACUCUGGUACUAUGUUAUUCUUCUAAAACAUAAAUUAACACUUUCUCGUAACGAACAGACCGUCCCUAGAGCAAGUACAAAGGGCUUGGUGGUUGGUACUCGAGACCUAAGUUCGAAUUCUAGUUGAUUCACAUUUUCAGCUAAUUUUAUUUUUAAAUAAAAUAAACGAAGCAGGUAGCGUGCUACCUAUCUCCCAAAAAAAAAAAAACACUUCCUCCUAAGAACCAACCGCACCUAAUGCAGUUCGCUAAGUGCUCAGUAGUUGAUAUCCGACAUCUUAAGUUUGAACCCUAUUGCUUCACAUUUCUAAGUGAGUUCAAUUCUAAAAAAAACUGCACGAAAAAAACCCUUCUGUUUGAUAUCAUGUACCAGUUAUGUAAAAUAAUUAUCAUUCUCUAAAAGUUUAAAUUAACAAAUCUAAAACUUUAAAUAUCAUAAAUGUCCCUCCAAAAUCUAAAAGUUUACAAAUACAUCCUUAAUCAUCCAAAACUAUCACUAACACUCCUAUAAACCUCAAUUUGGAGAAACUAUCACUAACACUCCUAUAAACCUCAAUUUGGAGGGGUAUCUAUGAAAUUACACUCCCCCCAAAAAAAAAAAAACUAACAGUUACAGAGGGCACUUUCAAAACUCAAUGUAGUUGAGGGGCCUUCACACAUUUUUACCAACUCAUCAUCAAUCAACCACGCAUCAACGGUCCAAAAUAACUCCUACCCCUCUUCUUUUUAACAAAAUAAGUCCAAAUUACACAAAUCUUACUAUAAAUAUUCACUUUUUUUACUUUUUUUUUUCUGACUUUCAAAACCUAUAUUUUACUUUUUUAAAAAAAUUUAAAAAUAUUUUCAGGGAAUACUGUAUUAAUGGAGGAGUGCAAAAUAAUCAAAUUACCCCUUUUUUUUUAUAAAAUAAAUUUUUAAUAAAUUCUUAUUAUUUUAAUAAAUAUUUUUGAUAUAAAUUAUAAAAAAUAGACGGAAUAGUGAUGAACCCAGAAGAGAAAGGGACAAAAUAUAACUUGAAAUGAUAAUGGGUAAAAUGUAUGUUUUUAAAAAUUGGAGAAAAAAAAAUUAAAAAAAUAGAUAUUUAUAAAGGAGCUUNAAAGACUUAAUUAAGAGGGAAAAUAAACUUGGCAACAUCGAUCUACUACUUUUUAGAGUAUGAAAGCAAAGAAAAACUGUGCAAAGAUUUCUCUUCUUGCAUCACUAUGGACACCAUGGACUCUCUCUCUCUCUCUCUCUCUCUCUCUCUCUCUCUCUCUCUCUCUCUCUCUCUCUCUCUACACCCCUCUCUCUCUCUCUCUCUACACCUCUCUCUCUCUCUCUCUCUCUCUCUCUCUCUAAACCCUUCGAUUCCCCCUUUUUUUUAGCAAAGUAGAAGAAUCCUAUAAUCCCUCUCCUCUUCCCAUUUCUCUCUCUCUCUGUUUCUCUCCUCCACGUCUUUUUUGGAUAGUUUAAUUACUUAAUUUAUCUCCAAAAUUUGAGAAAAAAUGGACCUAAUUUUGCUGUUUUUGUCCUCGUUUCGAUCAGCUUUGUUGGUCGCCUCCGCGAGUUGCUCCGCCCCUGUUCGCAGAAAAUAGAAAGGUGGGAUUUUUGGUUGGUCGGAACCCUCGUUUCCGACGCAAAGGUGGGAUUUUGAUCUCGCUGCGACGAUUUUCGUCGAGUUUGUGAUGCGGGUUUUGGUCUAAUUAGGGUUUCGAUCGGCGUUCCGGGGGAAAUUUGAGUGUUUUUGUGGAAUGGUGUUUUGAGGGCGCUCGAUUUUGAUUGAGAAAAUUAGGGAAAAAGGAGUGGGAUUGGGGAAGGGGGAGGGGGGAGAGUUUGUGAAUUGUUCAUCUUAUGGGUUGCAUUUGUUCUAAAGGGAUCGCCACCGAGGAGAAUGUCGAGACCCUGCGAAAGGCCUCCAUCUCGAGCAAAUCGUUGAAGCGAUUCGUUACUCUAUCGAAGAAAGGGGAGGCAAUUGUGCCGAGCUCCGAUGCACCGGUUAUAGUCGAUGGUGGGGGAACACUUAGGGUUAACUCGAAGCCGAAGGAAAAUGGGGUGGUCCUGAUUCCUGUGACCGUCGAUGCGGCGGAGAAGAAAAAGGCGGGGGCGGUGGCGGCAGCGGCCACGGCCGAGAAUAGGGCGAGGAAGCCAGUGGGACAUCAUAGAAGGGCCACCGUCGAUGUCGGUGCCAACGGGACAGAGGAUGACAACGCGAGGGUCGGCGACGCGGAGCCCAAUUUGGGGAUCGGCGGAGUGCCCAACGGGUUCUCGGGGGAGCACGCGAUCGCCGGUUGGCCUUCUUGGCUCACGGCGGUGGCCGGGGAGGCCGUGAAAGGGUGGCUUCCGCGAAGAGCGGAUUCUUUCGAGAAAUUGGACAAGGUAAUCUUUUGGAGGGGUUUAUUGCAAAUUUAGUGCCUGAAAUUUGAUUCAGAUUUCAAUUUCGUCGUCUUUACUAUGUUGUGACAAUGUGUGAAUUUCAUGUUUAAUCUAACAUGAUUCUAUUGUUUUGAGGUUUCCUUCUGUUUGAUUAAAGAAAUAUUGGAAUAUGAUUCUAUUGUUUUGUUAUUCAGAAAAUGAACAUAAGUAAUCUGGUAAUGAUGGUGAUGGUAUUGAUGACGACGACGACGACGAUGAUGCAAUAUUAACAUGAACAACACUAUUCUAUGACAUUUUAGUGCUAACACCUAGACAUUGAUAUGAAAAACUUUUGCAGAUUGGGCAAGGAACUUAUAGUAAUGUAUAUAGAGCCCGUGAUCUUGAAACCAGUAAGGUAGUCGCCCUCAAGAAAGUUCGGUUUGUCAAUAUGGAUCCAGAAAGUGUUCGAUUUAUGGCUAGAGAAAUCCAUAUACUGCGGAGACUCGACCACCCGAACGUUAUAAAACUUGAAGGCAUAGUAACAUCUCGGAUGUCGAAUAGUUUGUAUCUUGUCUUCGAAUACAUGGAGCACGAUCUUGCUGGGCUCGCGGCAACUCCAGGUCUUAAGUUCACCGAGCCGCAGGUACAUGAUCUGAUAACACCUUAAAAUUCUAGUAUGGCUAUAUAAUGUAGGAAACCAUCUAUAGAUGUAGCGACAGGUGAGCCGGGUGGCAAGAACCUGACACAACCUGUUACUGUAGUUCUUUAAUCAUUCCAUAAUACUUAUAAAUACCAAAUUUUUUUAUGUAAAUAUCAGGUCAAGUGUUACAUGCAACAACUACUUCGAGGACUCGAUCACUGCCACAGUCGUGGAGUACUACAUCGAGAUAUCAAGGGCUCGAAUCUUUUGAUCGAUAAUAAUGGCAACCUUAGAAUAGCGGACUUUGGCCUCGCGACAUUUUUCAAUCCUGAUCAGAAGCAGCCAUUGACGAGUAGAGUUGUCACGCUGUGGUAUCGACCUCCCGAGCUUUUGUUGGGUGCCACGGAGUAUGGCGUAGCGGUUGAUUUGUGGAGUACGGGUUGCAUCCUCGCAGAAUUGCUUGCUGGAAAGCCAAUCAUGCCAGGACGAACUGAGGUAUAGAGCAUUCUUCAAGCUUUGAUUAAUGGCAUUUACGAAUUUCACAUAUAUGAUACGAUAGAGUCCUCAUGUAGUCGCAUUUGUUCAUGGGUAGUGACAUCGUUAGACAGAAAUUGUUACUGACAGGUCAUUGUUUACUAUAUAGAAGUUGUUGGGCCAAAUGAACCUACUCUGUCAAUAAUAAUUUUAGAUUUGCCGAUAUCGGUAGCCUCCUGCCGUUCAUGCCUUGCAAAUAAUGAAUGUUCAUAGUCGUCCUAUUUAUGGUUUCAUUUUCGUUCUUCUUUGGAUUAGAUACUUCUUCCUCCACAGAGGCGCAGACAAAAACUCAGUGAACUCAGUUUCGCUGAACAAUUUUUCAUAAAGAUGUAGUUUAUGUAAUGAGAAUGUGCGUCAAGGAAGAUUCCCGUUACUGAUAGACAAUAUAAGUUGCAUCGCUGCUCAUCCUUUUAGCAUUCAUUUUAAUAUGGUACGGAAUCUUUCAAAAUAGGGGCCCUAACCUGUGCUUUAAUCUUUCGAUGAAAUUCCUUCCUAAGAUUAGACCAGUUUAUUAACAUAAUAUUUAGUUGUGGACCGAGCUGAAACCUAAAAGGAGUGGAGAUCUCUUAAAAGUGUAGAUAGUUCCUGUUUUAUCUAAAAUUUGACUAAACGUUUCCACCAAUUGGCUUUGUUGACUGACUUGUUUUCCUACGCACCGUCUAGGUGGAGCAACUCCACAAGAUUUUCAAGCUGUGUGGAUCACCAUCAGAGGAGUAUUGGAAGAAAUCAAAGUUGCCGCAUGCAACUAUUUUCAAACCUCAACACCAAUACAGGCGCUGUUUCGCCGAGACGUUCAAGGAUUUCCCUCCUCCGGCUUUAGCUCUCUUAGAUUCUCUACUUGCAAUCGAACCAGCUGCUCGGGGAACAGCAGCUUCAGCUCUUCAGAGCGAAGUAUGUUUUUGACUCUUGUGAUAAAUUUCAUGCCUUCUUUCUAGACUAUUUGAAUAUUUUUCCCUUAAACAAUGGAGAUGCGAUACUUUCCGUGAGCAUGCUAGGAAACAAAACUAAUUAGUAUUCUUUGCUUUCUAAACUUAAAAAGUAAAUUCUAUCAUCUGUUAAAGAGGAGAAUGGUUUUGCAAUAUUCUUCUUUCUCAUGCUCAUAUUUUUCACUUGAGUUUUUUUGUCUCCAUUUUUAACUGAUAACUAGUUAAAAAUUUUGUUAGUUUUUCAGAACAAAGCCGUAUGCAUGUGAUACCUCGAGUUUGCCUAAAUACCCACCAAGCAAGGAGUAUGAUGCGAAGCUUCGCGAUGAAGAAGUUAGAAGGUAUUUUUCUCGAAAUAUUGCGUUUAACUAUAUUUGCUAUCAUUAGGACACACUUACAUAUUUUCUUCUAAUUAUAAUAGAAAUUAUAGUGUUCCAUGGUUCUUAAAUUAUUUACCAUGUGUUUUUGUCCUUACAGGCAAAAGGCGGCAGCUAUUAAUGGCCGGGGAGCUGAAUCUAUAAAGCCGAGGCGAAAAGAAUCUAAAGCAAAUCCAGUUCCCAAUGCCAAUGCAGAGCUUCAGGUAAUCCUAAAUGUAGUUUUAUGAGGUUGACACUUAUUUUUGGUGUUUGCAUACAAAAAUCUCAUUGUGAAGAAGAUUUAUCAAUUCUUAAGAAGUGCACAUGAUUUUCCAUCGUUUAUGCAAUCAAUUUUAGCUCGUGCCAAACUUAUGUGUCUAUUUUCUUUUUUUACGCUUCCAGAAGCGACAUGUACAGGCAAAUCCAAAAAGCAGGAGUGUGAAGUAUAGCCCACUGGAGGAUAGCGGAGCCGGGUUCCCCAUCGAGCCCCCCGGACUACCCGCAGCUAUGCACACGGCUCAAUUCGGAUCAACAUGGUAUAAUAAGAAGGGUAAUCACGAUGAUCAUCGCGGAGUUCCGGAGCGCACGUAUAGCUCCGUUAGGGUCGCAAAUGGCCCUCAGCUAAAGACACAACGAUCCUAUAAGCCUCAAGCCGGUGGGACCGACUUGCACAGCUUAUCGGUUUCGGCUGCGGGGAGAAGCACUGCUCACCCGAGAUACAAUCGGCUCGAUAUCGUAGAGUCCUCGGAGAAGCAUGUGCUCGAUCGGCCUGCCUCUUCUCACAAGAAAGAUUUAGGAGUCAAGGACUCGGCAGUGGUAACUACUUACUUAAACUGUUGUUUAUUAUCACAUUGGCAUUUUGUUAAGGCACUUGCGACGCAUUUGCGCAUUCUCAGUUUGUGAUGCUUAAUGUGGUUACCGUUAUUGGCAAAUUCAGGGUUACGGAGGCAAGAUCAAACGAAUCCAUUACUCGGGGCCAUUGAUGCCCCCGGGAGGGAACGUCGAAGACAUGCUUAAGGAGCAUGAGCGGCAGAUCCAACAGGCUGUGCGCAAAGCUCGCCUAGGCAAAGACAAGACGAACAAGUAGCUUACAUUGAGAAAAGCUGCUUGCAAAAGCACUUUUUUGCAACAAACAGCAUCUACUGAGAAGGGUUUACAGACGCAGAAUCGACUCGCUUAUGUUUACAGCAAAACGGAGAAAAAUGCAGCUGAGUUCUUCGCGGCACGAGAACUAUGUAGAGCACGAAAUGAGGAGAUGAUUUCCGAAAGUAAUUUUUGUGAAUUAUGUAUACCUCUUACAAAGCCUUGUAAAUUAAACCCAUCACUAUGAAUGUAUACCUUGUGAGUUGGCAACUUUUAGUGGAACUGCCGGGAAAAUCGCUUUCUAAGGAAGCUGUUCCGGCAUUUGUUGGAGUGUACGGAUGUGCUGAUGUAAAGAAAGGAAUUGCUUGUCGAGAGGCGUAAAAAAUGCGAAAGUCUCUAUGCAAUUUUAAGAACAACAUAUGCAAGGGAUUUGAGCUUUUAGGGUUCUGAGUGAAUGUAAAUGCUUGUUGUAAAAUGUGUAUUAUUUGGAUUACCUCUUAUUCCUGUUUUGAAUGUGCAUCUUCAUACACUAUAAAGUUAUUAUUCUUAAUUUUUGUAAUCUUAAAUAUGAAGCAGGAUUGAUUAUUGGGAAAGAUAUAGUUGUUAUUGUAAAAUAGAAGAUCUACUUCACUCAAAAGAAAAUGAACACUUGAUCUUUAUAUUUUUGAGGUCUAGUUGUCUCGGUUCUGUAGCUAAGUUCAUCUUCUUAGUGAAAGAAUCAGUAGCAUACUAUAUUUUCUCCAAAAAAAAGAAAAAAAAAAAAGCCCUUCAAAUUGUAUAAAUGCUACUCUUUUUUAUCAUAAUCUUAAUAUAAUUCAGUAUCCUGCAACAUUUCAUUUCACUUCUUCUAGUAAUGUUUAAAUAAUUCUGUUUUGUUGGGGAACAACUGUUUAAACAAAUUCUCGAUUGUAUCCUACAAAAUUGAUAUUUUGGGUAAGACAAUAUCAGAGUCAGUUCUAAGCCACUUCUGUUUUAAGAGAUCGGUCAUUUUAUGGCACAUAUUUAUCUACUAUCCUGCUAUUUUUCUUAGUUCUCUCUUUAGUCAAUUACUGACCGUCCUUAGUGCAAGUGGCAAUUGUUUUAUAUUUUCAUUAAAGUUUAUUUCUUAAAAAAAAAAAAAACAAACGAAGCGAGUAGCAUUUUGCAUUUCUCUCUCAAAAAAAAAACUUUUUAGUCAAUCCGCGUGGCACGGUUCAUCUGAUAUCCACUAUGCGCAUAAAUAGACGAUUUAAGGUAGAUUCUGUACCAUUUCCUACUAGAUCAAUCUUUAGAUUACCAACAUCAAGGAGAUAACCAUAGAUUAAUCACUAAUGAAGUACAUAAAACACAAUAUGAACAUACUUUACAUAGAUUACUUAUGAAGUACAUAAAACAAUAUUAACACACUUUAUGCACCCUUUUCAGUUGAAAACUUCAGAGUCAUAACAAAGUACUAGCAACAUCUUUAAGAACCAUAAAACUAACACAGGAUAUUUUCACAGAAAAAGAAAAAAAAAAGAAGAAGAGAUCCAAGUUCGAAUCCUAGUUGAUUCACAUUUUCAGCUAAGUUUAUUCCUAAGUGAAAUAAACGAAACGGGUAGCGUGCUACCUAUCUCUCUCUCAAAAAAAAAAAAGAAAAAAAAAGAAAGAAGUUUCAAUCCAAUCCCGGAGGACGAAACAACGGGAGCGGCGGUGGGAAAGGGUACGGCGGUAACGGCACCGGCGGUAGGGGCUCGACAUAGCUGCAGAAUCCGUAGAGACAAAAAUAUCCGAACGGACAACGGCGGUUACACUUGCCGCAGUGGAACCGACAACGGCGGUUACACUCGCCGCAGUGGAACGGACUUGUCAUAACGUUCCUGCAGAAUCCGCCGUAGCAUCUCCACCGGAACGGGCACUGGACGCCGCAGAACCUGCAGUUGUUCGGGUCCGACCGCAGGUCGACGCAGCGGUCGCUGCAGGUAUGUAUAGUCACAACUUCAGCAUUCGGACGCGAAUUCAGAGAAAUAUUCGAGCAAUCAACAUGUUGAGAACUUUACAGAACUUAGUGUGAACUAUGAAUCAUUUUGAUUUGCUUAUUCGGCCAUUUAGUUUAUUUAAUUUGAGUCGGUCAAUAACACUUUAACUUCAAAAUUAGAAAGCGAUGGAAUUAAUCAGCAUAUUUCAUACAAUUCUCACAACUAUAAAUUUAUUAAAGUAAUUAAUUAAUUUAAAUAAACUGAAAAGCUGGGUAGCCGUUUCAAAUUGAUGCAUAGUUUGGAUAAGUUUUGUAUAUUUUCACCAAAAGGCAUUGGAAAAUACUAAGAUUGUACCUGCAACAAAGUCGCGGUGUGAAGGUUGGUAGCCCCGCCCAGCAAAUCCACGGUCGGUACCUACACCGGGACUCCCUCGGCCUCUGACCGCCACCCCAUCGAGCCAGGGGGGCGUGACGGUCACGACAGCGACAGCGGCAGCAGCAAUGGUGUUGUUCAUGUGCCGCCUGUCACGGACAAAUAUUUUCCGCUGACUUCUCUUUGACAGUGGCCCAACUUCGCUAGCGGAGCGGAUCGUUAAAGAGACCCAAACCCAACCCGCUGUGGGGAGACGAAGGGUUUUGUAAUCUCUCCCAUCAAUGAUGGAAGCUCAAGGGUUAUGAAACUACCAAAAGUUAAUAGGGUGACUCUUGGGCUUUUGGCUCACUAUGAGGGUGAGUUAAUGUGUGUCAUAAUGAGAGAGUUAGUGUGUGUCUAGGUUCAUUGUAUCUAGGAACAUAUAAGUAGUGGAGUUUGGCUAAGGUCAAAACACACAAGAGAGAGUGUGUAUGUGAGUUGUAAUUCUCAUUUUCUAAGUAGUGUAGUACUUAACUUUUUGAGAGAACCUCUGUCUUUUUUUCUUGUGUCAUUCCUUUUGCAUACUUAGUCGUAGGACGCGAAGGUCCGGACUAGCAACAGGGACGAAGGCUUGCCCAUCUUCGAGCAGGAAGGUGGGCGCCGCACGGGCUUUGCGAACAAAAACGCUAAGGCCGUGACACGCCGCUCUACUUUUUGUUCAUUGUCGUCGUCGUCGUCAUCAUCAUCUUCUUUUCUUUCUUCUGCGACGAUGUCGCGGGACGCAACAUGUGUAACGUGUUGCUUCUAACAAGUACACCAUUGAAACACAUACUACCAUAAUAGUAAAGAUCACUAAUAAGAGGGAGAGUUUUGGAACCCAUUUUGUAUAUAAGUUUUGGUACAAAAUAUUGGUGGUUUGAAACGGGUGGCGGGGAAUUUAAAUACGGGGGAAAGGAAUCGACCGUUACGUAUUAUUUCCCGCGCAAAAAACGGGUGGCUUCAUGCUCUCCUCGGAGUGUGAAUUAGGUGUUAGACUUGUGACCACAUAUAGAAAAGUUAAAAAUAGGGAAAACUUCAAAAACCCCCCGUGGUUUCACACUUUCUUACUUGAGUACCACAUGAUUUAAAGUGUAUCAAUUUGGUGCCAUAUGGUUUCAAUUUUAUCUUUUCGGCAACUUUUUCGUUAAUAUUUCGUUAAAUUAUAUACAAAAAACUUCAGAUACCCACCUAGGUUUAUCGUAUAUUCAUUUUAGUACCUUUUAAUUUUAACUUUGUUACUGAUUUAAGAAAAAAAAAUAGUGAAAUUGAUAAUAAGAAGAGAAAAAUGAAACCGCAUGGCACCAAAUUGAUACACUUUAAACUACAGGGUGCUAAAGUGAGAAAGUGUGAAAUCACAUAGGUGGGUUUUUAAAGUUUCCCCUUAAAAAUAUAUAACAGAUAAUUUAUUAAUUUUUUAAAAUCAAAAGAUUUUAAUUUUUAUACAGAACAUUGUAGUCCCCACGUCUAAUAGGUCAAAAUUAUUAAUCAUCUAAAAAAUUUCUGUAAACACAUGGAAUAGAAUAAAUAUUCCUACAAAAUUUAACUUUUCAUAUUUAUCCCUACAAAUUCUAAUAUUUUCAAACAUACCAAUGGAGUUAGAAUCUGUUAGAAAAAAUAUAGUUAAUCAUAAUUAAAAUACUUAAACUUAUUUAUUGAAUAAGAUAAAUUGAUAUUUUUAUCCCUUUAUAUUAUUUGUGAUGAUAGAAAAAAAAAAAGAAGAUGAUCGUUGAAAAUUUUUAAAAGAAUAUUUCUACAUAAUUCUACAGAGAACCUUUGAACUUUAGAUCUUUUGCAAUUAGGUGCCUGAACUUUCAGUUUUGGUAACUAUAUCUCCUAAAUUUUAUCAAAUUGUUCAGUUGAUCACUCCACUCAAGUGAACUUGUUAUUAAUUACAAAGCUAUUUUCUGAUCGUAUGUCAUAUAUAUAAUUUUAUUAAACUUCCAAAUAUAAAGAAAUCUAUUUUUUUUCCAAUUUCGAUAAUUUAGUAUAACGAUCAAAGAAUAAGUUGAACCGAACUUUAAUUUUUAUUAAGGUUUUACAUGUUAGAAUACAAGAAAAGGAAAGAAUUUUGUGCCUUAAAGCUUCGUAAACCAUAUGCAAUACAUAGGUCCAAAACAGUUGAAUAAUUAGUAAUUUUAAUUGAAAGAAAAGAUUUAUUAAACUAUUUGACAAAGUUUAAGAGAUCUAAUUUUUAAGGAUAAAUUACACUUUUGGUCCUCAAACUAUGACGCGUGUGACAAUUCAGUCCUCAAAUAUUAAUUCUAGCCAUUUCUAGCUUGACUUUUCUGAAUUAUUGCUAUCAAAUCUCACAACCUAAUUUUUGACUAAAUGUUGAUGAUUUACUAUUGUACAAUGUGUUGCGGGAUUGAUUACAAUAAUUCAGAUAGUUCGAAUUAGAAAUAAUAACAAACUAAAGUUCGAGGACUAAGUGUUAUGCAUUCCAUAGUUUGAGGACCAAAGUUGUAAUUUAUCCAAUUGCUAAAAUAAAAAAAAUUGGGUUAACUGCAUACAGCUCCUUGUAAAUAUAUCAAAUAGUAGAUUUAUCCCUAUAGUGUUCAACUUUUUACAUUAUCCCUACAAAAGUUCUAAUAUUUUUAAAUAUGGCCUUGUUAUUAAGAUUCAUUAGAAAAAUGAAGUUAUCCAUAGGUAAAAUAUUUAACCCUAAUUAGUAAAUAAGGUAAAUCGAUCUUUUAUUUUUUUUAUAUUAUUUGUGAUGGUAAAAAGAAAGAAAAUGACUAUUGAAAAUUUUUGGAAGGAUAUUUCUGAAUAAUUCUAACAGUUCGAGCUUUUGGAGAGAUAUAUUUGUGAUAGUAAAGAUGUCAUUUCACUUAUCUUUUGUUAAAAAAUAAACAGCACUUUAACGGUAACAAAUAUGAAAAGCUAAAUUUUAUAGUGAUAUAUAUUUGCUAUUCGAUAUAUUUACAAAGAGCCGCAUGGAAUUAACCCAAAAAUAAUUUAGACAAGUAUGUGUAAAAGAGCUAAAGUUUAGGUAGUUUUUGUGUAUUUUUCCUGGCAAUUUUAGUAGCUGCGGGCGAAGUCGUCGCUGGAUUGGUCUUAUCGGAGAACACGUUGCCGACUUUGGAAAACUAACAGCUGGAGAUUGGUUUCUCUCUCUCUCUCUCUCUCUUUCUCUCUCUCUCUCCUCUCCACAACCUCUCUCUCUCUCUCUCUCUCUCUCUCUCUCUCUCUCUCCUCCCCCAAUUUCCGAGCCCUCGAUCGAUCGCUCCCCCUCUCUCUCUCUCUCUCUCUCUCUCUCUCGCUCAUUCUCCUCGUUUUAGGGUUUCGAUCGCGCCUGAAUCCCGCUCCCAGGGGAGGGGGGAAGGGGCCUCAAUGUCGCCAUGGAGUGCUCCGUUCUAUCGCGAUCUCGAUUGAGGUGGUUUUGUAUCCGCAAUUCCCCUCUUUUCUUCGCAUCUUCUCUUCGGUUUUUCGGUGAUUAUUUCGUAAUUAGGUCCUUCGGUUUGCUGAUUAAGUGUUAAUUCUUCGGGGAAUUGUUCGUAGGAGCGUGAAAUAUAGAGAUUUUGGAGGGAUUUUUGGGUUUCUUCUAUUUAGGGUUUGUAAAGUAGUAACGCGGAUUAGAAUUACGAGGGGAAAAAAAUUAAAAAUUGUUUUUGUGCACCUUUUUUUCUUUUUUUUCGCUUUUUUGAUGUUUUUGGCUUCAUUAGGCCAAUUAGGUUGUGUUUGUUUAUGAAAGUUUUGUCCUUUAUAAUGUUGGUAAUAUGAUUACAAAAUGUUGUGUUUUUUGUUAUGUUUUUUUUUUUGUAAAAAAGAUAUUAUUUUUUGUUUUCUAUGCGAUUGAACAUAGAUUGGUGAUUAAUUUGUGGACUCAUUGUAUUAAAACAUAGAAAUGAAGUAAAAAAAAAAAAUGGUUACUACUGCAAUUUUGUUACAUGAAUCCAUAAAUGUGGAGUUGUUGCAAAUAAUGCACAAAAGUAAAACUAUGAGAUUGCAUAAAAUUCGAGAAAAGAAAAGGGAAAAAUUAAAUGUAAAUAAUGUCGAAAAUGCACUUUUGGAUUUGAAAAAUAUAAGUAGGUAUUAAACAUGUACAUAGGAGAUUCCAUGCUUUAGUUUACAAGCAAUCAACUAUUUGAUUGGUUUUGUAUCUGUUUCGUUUCAGAAGUUAUCUUUGAGAUUCUAUGUUGCAUUUUGAAGUUUCUCUUUUUCGAAUAGAGAUGAUGCAAACAUGCACAUGUUAGAUUAUGUAAAACUACUGUUGUUUUUCAAAAGCUUAAGCUAUCAGAUGAAUUAAAUGGUAGGAAAUUAAUAAUGUUAGAAACUUCAUGAGAUUCGAACUCGUGACCUCGUGCUCUGAUAUCAUGUUAAAUUGUGUGAAACAAUCGUUGUUCUUCAAAAGCUUAAGCCAACAGAGAAUUGGUGUUUUUAAUAUCCAUAUUCAACAGCUCAUUGUUAUGUUAAACAUGUUUACUCGUGUAGAGUUUUAAGCCUAUCUGGUAGCUUGAAUCUCUGAUGGUUUUGAUUCAUAUGCAUCUUACUUAUAUGAGCAUUUUCAUUUUUUUUCCAUUUAUUAUCUAUGCCAUAUCUCGAAAUUCUUACUGUAUAACCCUCAAAACUGAGUAUGUGCUACGCGAGUUAUGGAGUGCCAAUUCUUUCUACCUUAGACUCGCGCAUCAAAGAUCGAGAGUUUAAUCUUGGCGUGCAAAAUGAUGUAUUUUCGCAGGCACCUGGUGAGCAACAGCGAUUGCGAGAAGGUCGCUACCAUAUUUAUAAUCAGGGGUAAUUCUAGUAUCAAUGCGAAGGAUAGAGAGCAUGCUUUGUGGAAUCCCUGCUUCGGCUGAUGCACUUGAUCAGUCUCGCCACCGAUACAUUCGGUGUAAUAACUAUCUCUCUUGUCUCCCUUCUCUCUCUUCUGGGCCUCCUUUGCAUCUACCGCUCGUUAUAUUUCCAGCUGCGCAUUCGACGACGGCGCUUCCUCCAUCUCAGCUACUUUAAUGGACCGUGGGUUACCCGCAUCACCCUGAUCCUGAUCUCGAUAUGGUGGGGCUUCGGGGAGAUCAUCCGAUUGAGCUUUUUGCAUGGCGCGGGAAAGCUCUUUUCGAGCCAAACGUGCCAGAAGAACGUGUGCAAGUUCUACGUCCUGUCGAACCUUGGGUUCGCGGAGCCAAGCGUGUUCCUUAUGCUCGCGUUCCUCCUCCACGCGGCGCUCCAGGAGCGCGAGUUCACCUUGAGCCAAAGAUGGAACCGGAAGACCAUCAGCUGUGUCGUGCUUCUCUGCUUCCCGGCUAUUCUCUGGCAACUUGCCCUAGUUUUCAUCGGGCCCAAGUUUGCUAACCGGGAGAAGAGCGAUAAGAGAGUGGACAUGAUGAGGCUCUUCACCUCGACCUCUUCGCUCAGCGACGGCACCGUCACAUGCACAUACCCCUUGUUGAGCACCGCAUUCCUCGGGGCUUUCUACAUUAUACUGAUCACCUACGUAACAUACAUCGGGAGCCGGAUGCUGUCGCUGGUGAUCAACAAGGGGCUAAGGCGAAGGAUUUACGUGUUGGUGUUCUCCGUCAUCCUGUUCCUGCCGAUGCGGGCGCUCCUUCUGGGGUUCUCGGUGCUUCCCCGGCCGGGCGGCUUGGCGUACGAGGCGAUCGUGUUCCUCGCCUUCGUCAUGAUGUUGUUUUGCACCAUGGUGGGGAUUGUUAUGCUGGUGUAUUUCCCCAUUGCUGAUACCUUGGCUCUGGGGGAGCCAGAGCAUGUGGAAAUGGAAGGGGUGCCCUUUGAUGACUACUACUAGUUUGGUGUUUUCUCAUGAAUUUUUUUUUUUUUAAAAAAAAGGAAAAAAGAAAACAAAGAAGGGAUUUGAAUUUGUUUUACUAUUCUUUUCUAAAUUUUUGUGUUUUGAAUUCAAAUGUGACAUGAUAUCAGUUUUGUAGUAAAUAUAAAAUUAAUGCCAACUAUUUGAGUAAGGUUUGUUUCCUCUUGCUGUAGUCAACUCCUUAACCAUGUCAAGCAUGUUGAACUGAUCACAAAAUUCUCUACCAAAUCAGAUGUUGCUCAACUACAGCAAAAUUUUAAAAGGAUAUUAAAAUUUUUAAAAGGUAAUUGAAAUAUUUUUAUAGGAAUAUACAGGUAUUGAUUUUUUUUUUUACUUUUUUGAGUUAAAAUGUAUAGAACUUAUUUGAACUAAAAACCAUUUUGAAUUGGCUAUAUCAUCUUUCAAAAUUUUGAUUUUACUAUUUACCAUUUUAAUUUGUUUGAUUUAAAUUAGUCUACAAUUAUUUGACUUCAUUGGAGUUGUGAGAAUUAUAUAAAGUAUAUUAAUUGAACUUUUUAAGAUAAAUGACGCAUUUAAAUUUUAAAGCUAAAAAUAUCAUUAAUCGACUCCAAUUAAAUUAAAUUUUGAAAACUUAAAUAGUUAAUUAAUUAAUAGAGAUAAAGUUCACAUCUUUUGAAUUCGUUUGAUUCGGGUAUAAGUAAGAGCUAGCUAUUACAGGGAUAGGAGUAUGGGGAUAAGAAAAAUAGCGUUUGAAUGAAAAUUGGAUUGUUUUCGGGGAUAAAAAAAUAGCGAGAAAAAUAGUGAGUAGUUAUAUAUAAAAAAUUAAGGUGUUGAUGGAAAUAGUUAUAUCAGCUUUCAGAUAUUCAAGAAUAACUAUUCUCGAAUAAAAAAUUUGUGUUUAAAUAUAAAGGGGAUAGGGAUUAUCCCUCUUCAUAUCUCUAAUCUAAACGGUGCCGUGUGGUGUUGAUGAUGGUGAUGAUAAAUAAAUAAUAAUAAUAAAUAAAUAAUAAAUAAAUAAAUAAAUAUAAAGCAAAACUAUGGACACGUGUCGAUAAUCGUCUGCUUCCACGUACACAAACUCUCUCUCUCUCUUUCUCUUCCUUUUUCCCCACAACGAAACAUACCUUCCCUCUCUCUCACUUCACCCCUCGAACUCAACUUCCUCCUCUCUCUCUCUCUCUCUCUCUCUCUCUCUCUUCAUCGCCAUGAACGAGACCUCCGAGCUCCGGGACUGGGAACUCCUCCAGGCUUCGUGUACAAGCCCUCCCCUCCGCGCCCCGCUCUCCGCGGAGAACCCUAGCGGCCCCUUCGAGGCGGCCGACGACGCCGACUCCGAGGACGGCGCCAUCAAGCCCGACUACUUCGCCCCCGACUCCCGCCACCUCCGCCGCCACGCCGCCGACGAGGACGAUUCCGAUAACCCUAGCUGGGUCGACCCCGACCCCGACUUCAGGUCGGGAGCCGAAGCGGCUUUCGCGGGAAGUGGUUUCCCGGUGAAGAACUACGGCGGGUUCUGGUCCGACGACUCUUCGGAAGUGGACGGGUUCGAGGGAAUCGACGGUGGUGGGGAUCGGAGUUUGGGCAGCGACGGUGAGAGCGGAAGGGAUUUGCGUCGUGCUCGUGAGGUGUUUGAUGAAAUGCCGAGGAGAGAUGGAGGGAGCGGAGGAGGGGAGAGGAAAGGGGUGGUGUGGUGGAAGAUGCCUCUGGAGAUGUUGAGGUGUUGCGCUUUCAAAAUGAAGCCCUUUUGCUACAUCUCCAUUGCUGCGGCUGUCGUGGGGUUGUUUAUGCUUGGUAGGAGCAUGUACAAGCUGAAGCAAAAGGGUAGAGGAGUUUCUCUUAGGCUUGCCAUGGAUGAUAAGGUGAGAAUUUUCCUUCAUCUUGGUGCUGUUACGUACAAAUUCAUAUUUAUCACUGCUUUGUUGUUGCAAAGCUUUAAUUCUCAUCAAUGAUAUCGUGCAAAAGUUUCGAACUUUUGGAUAAGUUGGCUAUUAAAUUUUCACUGUUAGAACUGUUAUGCCCGUAAUUUUUUUUAGUAUUUUUUUAUAUGAUUAGGAUUUAGUAUUAAUGUAGAAUGACAUAGAAAGAAUAAUAGUGAACUUUAUGUUGGCUUAAAGGUGCUAGCAUCUUGCCCUAUGGCAUGAGGUCAAGUUGGGCCGAGUCAUGUUGGAAAUGGCGGGAGGCAAGGUUGGGUCGAGUCUUGUUCGAAGUGGUAUGAGGGUGGUCAGGUCGAGUCACAAUCGAGACCCGUGCGAGUUGUGUCUGUACAAUUUAAGUGAUUGCUCGUGUAUUACGAACACUUCAAGUUUUGGUAUUAAUAGUUUGCGUUAAUGAUCCGGCACGUUAGAUAUGGAAAAUUAAGGUGGAAGUAUUUUGAAAGAGAUUUUGAAGGGUAGAAUGGUCAUUUUAAAAUGAAGCACAAGGUCAGGGGUGUUUCACUUAAUAUUGCCAUUAGUGACAAGGUGAGGUGUUUUUUUAACUUUAUCUUGGUGCUAUGUUAUUUUUAUCGGUUAAUCUGGUAGGGUCGUAAAACAAGAACCUUAGGCCUUGUUUGGUACCUUUGUUCUUUUUUAAACUUUAAAGAAAAUAAAAUUUCUAUGUAAAAUAGUGUGAAAAUGGAUGGUGGAUUGUGUGCAAUCCUUACAUCCAAGGUCUUUGAUUGGCAACAAAAGACAAAACUUGGAAGCAACUGUUUUUUUGCCUCCAUUUUUUUUUAAAAAAAAAACCAAGUUAUCAUCCAUCAUUAGGCUAGAGUAUAUAACAAGCUAACUGAGCAUAAGAACAAAAGAAAAGCCUUUUCACCGGUAUAUGAAAUUAUACACAGUUAGUAUUUAUAUAAAAAAGCAAAUACUAAUUGUUAAAUGCUUGUUUUCACUUUGAGCAGUUUUGACCUUGAACUAUCCCAUGUCAUCAAAUGAACUUUCAUUUCGGACCAUAAAGAAAUCCUGGUAUUCCUGUAAUGUACUCAUUUUGUAAAAUAACUCCUUUGUUUAAGUGCAUUUGAAAUAGGAUCAAAAUGAUUAUUGUACAGGGGAAAAAAGAAUGUCAGAUCUUUUAUUUGCCAGGGAUUGGAUGCAAUAAAUUAGAUAGUAAAAAGUUUAGGGACUGAGUCUCAAUGAAGUCCCCGAACUCUUGAUAGAGGGACUAAAUGUACAUUUUAUCUUUCUUUAAUCCUCUUAGUAUUAGGCCUUCUUCACUUGUUCUGCUCCAGGCAUGCUUCUACUCUUAUUAAAAAUGAAUCAAAUCAUUGUGGUCUUGUAAAUACAUAAAGGCUGCGUUUGGUUCGGGUAUAAGUAAGAACUGCUAGUUCUAGGGAUAGGUACAAGUUCAGGUAUAAGCAGGAACUAGACCAAUUUUGCGUUUGGAUGAAAAUUGGGUUGUUCCUAGGAAUAAGGUAAAUAGUGUUUGGAUGAUUAGAUUGGAACAAGAGGAAUAAACGUUAUAAUUUGAAAUUAAAAUUAUAUUAUGUAAUUAAUUAACAUAAAAAUAUUACUUAAAAAUAAAUAAAAAAUUAAUUAUUAAUAAUUAAUUAUAAAUAAUAAUUAAUAAUAAUAAUUAAUUAUAAAUAAUAAAUUAUUAAUAACGAUUAUCUAAUUAAUAAUAAUAAUUAUUAUUAUUAAUUAUUAAUAAAUAAUAAUAAUUAUUAAUUAUUCUUAUUAAUUAAUUAUAAAUAAUAAAUUAUUAAUAAUAUUGAUUAUCUAAUUAUUAAUAAUAAUUAAUAUUAAUAUUUAUUAAUAAAUAAUAAUAAUAAUUAUUAAUAAUUAAUUAUAAAUAAUAAAUUAAUAAUAACAUCGAUUAUCUAAUUAUUAAGAAUAAUAACUAUUAAUUAAUUAUUAAUAAAUAAUAAUAUUAAUUUAUUAAUUAAUAAUAUCGAUUAUCAUUAAGAAUAAUAAUUAUUAAUAAAAAAUUAAUAAAUAUUAUUAAUUAUUAAUAAUUAAUUAUAAAUAAUAAAUUAAUAAUAAUUAUUAUUUAAUUAUUAAUAAUUAAUUAUAAAUAAUAAAUUAUUUAAUUAUUUAAUUAUUAAAACAAUAAAUAAUAAUUUAAAUAUAUUAAUUAGAUUAAUUAAUAAUUUAUUGCCAUUAAAAUUAAAUUUAAAUUUUAAUUAAUCUUGUUCUCAUCAAGGAAGAAGCUUGUUCCAAGAAACGGGUAGAACAGCAGUUCCAGCCUUAUUCCAGCUAGUUCCAGAUUCCCGGGAACUACUGUUCCCGGAAGCCAAACAUAGCGUUUGGGAACAAAGGGGGGAACAAGGGCUUUUUCCCCCCCUUGUUCCCCAACCAAACGCUACCAAAAAGAAUGUUAUAGUUGUGUAAAAGCAUGUUCUAAAGGAUUAAAUAUAACCCCUUAAGACUCUGUAAUGGUCAAUUUAGCCAAUUGGAUUGAAGGUGAAAAAAUUUCUCUGUUAUUUAAUGAUAAUAAAAUCCAGCACAUUAGCUUUGUGGUGCAUAGGAGCAAGCAAAGGAUUGAUACCAUAGAAUGAUGUGCGGCUUAUUGAGUGAAAGAAGAAUAUCAGAGGAGACCCACCAGAGAAAAAAACCCUUUUUAUCUUUUUUUUCCUCGAUGAUGGGGAUUGUUUAAAAUGUAGCUGCAAGUAGAAGUUCUUUCCUCAUUUUUCGCGAAAUUUUCUAAAGCAGCAACUUCAGUUUGGUCCGGCCUUUCAAUCAUCGAAAUUGGGUCCAUGAUCUUUGUAUUUUGUUUUCUUAAAUGCAAACAGUUUAUUAAACAUUUGUUGCAUAUAAAUGUUUCGCCACAAAAUCCAUCUUCUAUACUUAUAUUUUUGAUGUCAUUGUUGAUUCGUACAACAAAAACCUUAAAUGAGUGUCAAUUCGCAAAUACUUUGUAUAGUUCAACAAUUCGACUCUGUUCUGAAUGUAAUGCAGAUCGCGUCCCACUUCGCAGUCCGUGCUGCACGUCUCAACAAAGCAUUCUCAGCGGUGAGGCGCGUACCCAUACUGAGAACUUCGCCUCCCGCAUCCGGGAUGACUCCGUGGUCCAUGCUCCCUCUAAGAUAAGCUUUUAAGUUGCUUCUCCAUGAUGCUCAGGUAUUUACAAUAUGUUUAUUUGCCCUUUAUAUGUACUGUUUGUUACAUUACCUUGUAUCUGUUACUGUAUAAAUACCUUCUUUGUUUAUAUAAAGCUUUCGCAGCGAAAAUAAAAUGGAUGCAGUAUAUGAUGGUUGGUAAUGUUUCGAAGUAGAUGUUUUUGUCUUUGAGCUUCGUGCUUUUAUACCUCAUAGUUGUGUAUUUGGUCUUAUUUAUGUUGAAAUUUUGAAACCAAAAUUAGCAACUCGGUGUCAAUCAAAGUUGAAAUGUCUAAGAAACUAGAGAAGAUUCUUGUGACUAGGUUUUAUUUGGCUUUUUUGUCAUAGAUUUUGUUGCUUUUUGACACAUAUUUAUGUGCGAUUUGUAUCUUUGGGCUUUGUUCUCUUUCAGCUGAACAACUUAAGGAAAAAAAAAAUUAUUGAAAAAAAAAGAGACUUUAUUAUACCAAUUUCUGCCUAGUUUGAGGAAACAAAUUCCGUAAACAAAGUGAUUUCUCAGUAAAUCACUAAUUAGAUUAAAAAUUCUUCAACAAUGAUCACCCUAAUCAAAGAUGAUUCCUGCGGCGGUGGCGGUGCGGGUGCCGCCGCAUUCCGACACGCCGACGACCCCCCACUGCAUACGCCGCCGCUGCCUCGGCCGCCCUGCCUGACAGCACGCGCGACAGCGCCGCCAUCGCGCGUGACUGCCUUGCAACCGCCCCCGUCGUCGACGGCUCCUGCGACAGCACGAUCUCGUAGCCGUCGUAGUACGACUCCAUCCCCUCCGCCAUGGCCUGCCACACCAAGCCGCCGGCCAUCGACCCCCCGCUGGCCCGCGCGGAGCUGUAGAUGCCCGCGUACACGGUGUUCAGGAACGCGUCGCGCCCGUUCUCGGUGUACCCUGCGUCCCGCUUCGACUUGCCGAACUCGGCGAAGACCAGCGGCUUCCGCAGGAUCUGCCGCGCGUCGUUCCAGUGGCUCCACAUCCACCGCCGCACGAACGCCGUUUGCGCAGCGUCAUUUUGCCCGGAGAGCCUGCAGAACAAGAGUAACCUUUUGUGAUUCUUACCGUUCAGAUUCUAUUUUCAUCUACUUUUGUAAGUGAGCGAUAUUACCAUAUAUCUGGAUACGCAUGGAUGGUCGCAAAAUCAAUCUCCUUGACGAGAUUGCUGGUAAUGUAAUCCGUCCCAACUUGGAAUCCGGGAUUGUACUGCUUCUUCUCAGGCAUGGACUCCCCAUAAAACCCCUCCAUUCCCACCUCAAGCAUGUGUUUCCUAUCCAAUGAUUUUGUGUAACUCGCCAUCUCUUGCACCCACCCCUGUUACCAAAAACAAUAAUAACAAAAAAAAGUAAAAAAAAAAAAAAGGUGAAAAAAAAUUGAGAUUUAUGUGCAAAUUUGGGAAAAAAUUGCAAUAAGUGUGAAGUUACUAAAUCAACUUCUUAAUUACCAUUAUAAAUAUAAAUUUGUUUCUUUUAUUGUUAUAUUUCUUCUGAGAGAAAUUUUAUAGUUGUUUCUUUUUUCUCCAACACGUCUGUUUUAUCUUUCUUGUCAUUCUUUAUUCUUUCGAAAGUAACGGUGGUUGUCGUUGAUCAAUACGUGUUAAAACUAAUUCUGAGCUAUUGCCUAUUAAAUUGAUUUAAUAUCUAUCACGCACAUGAGUGGCAGUAUGAAAAUUUAAGACUAAAAUGACUAUUUUUUUAUGAUCAUUUUUUCAUACCCUCUAAUACCCGCCGGCCCGUUUAGUUAUAUAAUACGGUGUUCAGAUUCAGAUAAAAAGAAUUCCAAGUUGGAUGAAUCAUAACAUGAAUAGUUCAUCAAACUAUCUCAACAAAAACUCAUAGAGGAGCUUCUUAACAAAGUUGCAUGCGCUCGUUGUUACACAAGUAAGUUUGUAAUGAUAAAACCGACCGUCCCCUAGAGCAAAUGGCAAAGGGACUUGGUGGUUGGUACCUGAGACCCAAGUUCGAAUCCUAGUUGAUUCACAUUUCCAGCUAAGUUUAUUUCUAAAUGAAAUAAACGAAGCGGGUAGCGUGUUACCUAUCUCUCUCUCAAAAAAAAAAAAAAAAGAGUUUGUAAUGAUAAAUUGAUGAUACCCACAUUCACAGUCCUUCCCGAGUAGUCUCUUUCGCAACGAGGUUCAUUCAUUAGCUCCCAUGCCAUGAUUGUUGGGUCAUCUUUGUAGGCCGUUUUAGUGAUUGUGUUAACCCUUGUUAAGAUAGCCUACACCCAAAAUGGAAAUCCCAAAUUUGUAAGAAUAAUAUGUUAAAAGAAGUUGCAAGGUAUGUAGAUUUAUUACUAUUAUGCGCGGGUCCAAUUAAUGUGCUGACAUACUGACGUGUCAUAAACAAAUUUGCAUGUAAAAUGCAGAGGAGCAAAGAAACGAAUAACAAAAAAUCAUGCCCUAGAUGUUGGAUCUAUAGUUUCUGGUCAUGCAAAGUGCAUGGCAUCCGCGGCGGCGGUUUCUAAAAAGAUCGUCUGAAUAGGAUACGUACCGUAUACUUUUCUUCGCCCGAAGUAUUUACUCUUAUAUGUUUGUUAUAAUAUAUAUAUGGAGUUGAGCUGGAAUGCUAUCGGUAGCAAACGAAUUCCGUUGUCACCCAUUUGUUUUUUAUGAUGGAGCCUUCAAAUCGACGAUCGGCACCGUUGAACAUGAUCUAUACCACUUGAAAUAUCUAGAAAUCAAAUUUCAAAUCUUUUCGACAUCAUUGACCUAAUGAUCAAAGGGUUUCAAAUUUUGUAAUUUUAAUGGUCGAUAUGAAACGUUUUCUCGUUUAACGGUGUAAAGCUAUUCAAAUCAAUUGAAUUUUGGUUAGAAAAUUCUUUAAACUAUUUUAGAACAGAAUCUAUACUUUCGAUCUUGAUUACAAAAUUUCUAUCAUCACAUUUUAGAGGAUAUUUAUUUUCAGCCAUUCAUUUUUACGCCCACUUGAUGAACAAGAGAACAAUAUCGAAAAAGCAUGAUAUUUGAUUUCUAGAUACUUCAAGUGGUAUAGAUUAUUUUCAACGGUACCGAUCGUCGAUUUGGAGGCUCCAUCAUCGAAAAUAAAUGGAUGGCAAUGGAGCCCGUUUGCUACGAAUAGUAUUCCAGCUCAACUCUAUAUAUAUGUAUAUAUAUGCAUGGCAUAUGUUUACACUUUGCAUGUAAGUUUGGUGUGUGUAAAAUCAUGAAAAUUUUGUAUAAAAAUAAUGCAUAUAUUUAUAUUUAUAUCAUUACCUUUAUAUGGUUCUUGUAGUAACCCUUUACUACUGGAUUUGUAUAAAAAUCAUCUUCACUGUUUACUCCAACACCUGCUUUCCUAGCCCACUCUACAUAUUGGGCUUUGCCUCCAAAGUCUUUGAAGUUGUUAACCAAGCUCAAGAUCAGACGGACGCCGUAUCUCCGCGCCUCAGAGAUCACAAAAUCCAGACCCUUGAUUUACAUAAUAAGAAUGAAAAGAAAAAAUACAAUUAGUAAUGUUAAAACGAGUAAGUGAUAAUGAUAAUAUUCACUUAGGGAUUGUUUGGUUGCAUAUAUAUAUAUAUAUAUAUAUAUAUAUAUAUAUAUAUAUAGUGUAGAGUUACUAUACUAUCAGAAAUAUAGAGGAUUUGAUAUUUCCAAUUUUUUUACUCUUCGAUCAAAAAUUGUAUAAUUGGGAUGAUUGCAGUCCCCUCUAGGAUUGAGUAGUACGACUAGGGUUGAGUCGUCCCCACAGGAUAAUAGUAUUAAUCCAAAGGUUAAAAAUGAUUAAAGGGGUUGAUCUAAGGACCAGUCAGAAGCUCCAGAUAUUCUAUGCUGCCGAUAGCAUAGUAGCUCUCUCUCUCUCUCUCUCUCUCUCUCUCUCUCUCUCUCUCUCUCUCUCUCUCUCUCUCUCUAUAUAUAUAUAUAUAUAUAUAUAUAUAUAUAUUGUAACUAUAUUAUAGUUGUAAUUGCAUACAGAUUUAAAUAUAUCCAACUGCUGCAAAUAUUGGAGCUGUAUUCUUGUAGUUCCAAUUACAGAAGUCGGAAAGAAUAUAUAACUGUAAACAAAAGCUUUUCUUUUAGUCACUUUAAUUUUAACCUAAAAGUUUAUUUUUUCUUCAUUACUAAGAAAAUUUGUAAGUAUAUUUCUAAUCAGCAAUAUACAAUUAAAUAAAUUAUUUAUAAUUAUAGUAUUUUCUAUUACAACCAACUAAAUAAUUGAGAUGUACGUAGUUGUACAUAUAAGUUGUUACUGCUACAUUUUCAAAAUACAUUUAUAGUUACAUUCAACCAAACGGCUCUUAAUGUUUAUUGUAUUAUGUGAAUGUAAUUACCCCUUAAUUUUAGCUUGUAUUUCGUCAUAUUAUGGAGGACUUAUUGGGCCUUUGUUGAAUAUUUAAAUAUUAAUAGCAUCGUUCUAUGUAACUUAAGCUUUUAGAAAAUUUUAGUUGUUUUUUAUUUUUUAGCUUGGUAUCAAAGUACGAGGUUUUGAGUUCGAGUCCUGUCAAACUAAAUUUAUUUGCAUUUUUUUCCUUUACCUGAAAGACACGUUCAUUAUAGACGCCAGGCGAUGCCUGGAGCGCCCGAUCGCCACCGCCGUCGCUAAACGCCCACGUCCGGCAAACACUGAGCCCAUUGGCCGCCGCCUCCCGGAACACCUCGGAGACCUUCCCGCGGUCUGCAGGCUCGGCGGCAACACUCAUCAUCCAAUACGAAUUGAACCCGUUGAACAGAAACGGCUUGCCGUGGAGCACAAACUCAGUACCUCGUGCUCUGAUGAACCGGUCGCGGUGGUGGUGGUGACCAUGUUGGCUUCUUGCCUCACAAUGUAGGACAAGAAGAGUGGUUGUGAUAGUGCACAAAAUGGAGCAAAAGUGGCCACUCUUUGUGUAGCCCAUUAAUUCUUUGUGUGGGGAGAGUUGUAAAAGGAUGUGUAUAGCUUUUGAAGUGUGGGUUUUGGUCAUUGGUGUGUUAGGAGAGUAUUUAUAGAUGGGGGAGUGGGGAUGAGAACUCGUCAACGAGUACAAGGAAGUUGCAGGAUUUUGUGGGGGGGAGUUUGUACAAAUUCGGUGGUCAAGUGAUGUAAAAAAAAAAAAAAAAAUUGGUUCCUCCAUGUUGCUUGGACUUAGUCCACCACAUCAGCCUUAGGCCACCCAAAACUGCGUAUGUAUGUACCCUCGCUUUUAUUUAGUUUGUGGAUGAAACUAUUCAAAUGAUAGUAAAUAGUUCAGUAAUAGUUAUGGAUCCGGGGUUGGUGGAGCUCUCGCCUCGAUCUGCCUCGAGCGUGACGGUAAAAGUGAGAACAAAAAAUAGAGAAAAAUAUAAUCUGUUCCGAAUUCGCCCCGAUUUACUAAGUUUAUGAAGCGGGAGGCGGAAAAUCUCUUUUUUCUUUCAAUCUGUUUCAAUCUGUUAAGAAUCCGUUAAAAGAGCUCUCUUGGUCCGAUCCACCCCUAAUGAAGUGAUAAAUGGAGGCCAAAAAUAAAAUUAAAAUCAAUUAGUUCCGAAUCCGUCCAGAUCUAAAAAAAAAUUGAGCCAUUUUAACACCGCCAACCAAUAUAGGUGAUAGUAAUUUGGCUCUGAUAUUAUAUUACAUAUAAAAUAUGAAUCGAAUGAGAAGCAUCAUUACAGCUUAACGAAUUAAUUUUACUCUAUUUUUGCUUAGCAAAAUAUUUUAAUUGCUUUUCAAGUGGCGAGAAUUGAAGGAAUUGUUUGGAAAGCGAGGAUGAAUUGUGAAAUUGAUUGGUGGUCCACCACUCAUGCGGUGGACCAGGUCCAGGGAACAGUAUACCAAUUGGAAUGACAAUGAGAGCGUGGGAUUGGUGGGCGAAAAAGGUCGGUAUUUGUUAGGAUUUAAAAAAAUAAAAAAAAUAAAAAAAAAUAACCCAAAAAAAUGUCGUUUGUUGAGAAACGGUGGAGAGAUGAACCAUUUUGGCCUUUUUUAAUUUUAAAAUAAUAAUAAUAAUAAUAAUAAUAAUAAUAAAUAAGCAAAAAUAAUAAUAAAUAAAUAAAUUAAAAUCCCAUGUGGGCCGUUUUGUGACGUGGAAUCGGCUAACGGAUUAACUGAUCAUAUCCUAUCACAGAAAUAAUAAUAAUAAUAAUAAUGUAAGGAUAUUUCUUGAGAAUAAGUUAUCUAAAUUCAGUAUAAAAAAUUUUCUAAUAUUGAUUGUAAAAAAAAGGUUUAAUUUUUGCUUUUUAAAAGGUUUUAAUAUUCCUGAUUUGGUAAUAUAUUGUAUAUUUCAUUUACGAGCUAAUUUAUCUUAUUUAAAAAAAUAAUUUAAAAGUCUAAUAUAGUGUACACUUCUGGACCUUGAUCAAAAUUUUCAUAUAUCAAAUAUAUAAAAAUUUUUAAGUAAUUUAUGGAGAUAUGCUGAUGAACAAAAUAUUCAGACAUUCAAACAGGCCUGAAGUAAAUAAAUGUAUUGUUUUUUGUGAAGGGGGUAUCCAAACUUUUCUGCGUUAUUUGAACUUCAUAAAGCUAGAAUUUCGUGAUUUUUAAAUAUUAUUUGCCUACUAAUCAAGUAAUUUUAAACUCACCUUAUAUUAGUCAACAAAUAUAGUCAAUUUUGAGACCAGUAAAAUAAUAGAAAAAUGAUGUCGAAAGUCAUAAAAUUCGGGCCAUAUGAAGUUCAAAUAGUCAAGUUUUACCGUGUCGAUCGUUAAUUCAAAUGCUUGAUCGUCGAAAAUAACAUCGAAGUUUAUUUCUAGAAGAAUUAUAACUUUGCUCAUACAUAAUAAAAAGAUUUUGAAUAGUUGAAUGAGAAAAAUAGUCACAAAGGAUGCAAUUAGAAAAAAAAAAAAAAAAAAAAAAAAAAAAAAAAAAAAAAAAAAAAAAAAAAAAAAAAAAAAAAAAAAAAAAAAAAAAAAAAAAAAAAAAAAAAAAAAAAAAAAAAAAAAAAAAAAAAAAAAAAAAAAAAAAAAAAAAAAAAAAAAAAAAAAAAAAAAAAAAAAAAAAAAAAAAAAAAAAAAAAAAAAAAAAAAAAAAAAAAAAAAAAAAAAAAAAAAAAAAAAAAAAAAAAAAAAAAAAAAAAAAAAAAAAAAAAAAAAAAAAAAAAAAAAAAAAAAAAAAAAAAAAAAAAAAAAAAAAAAAAAAAAAAAAAAAAAAAAAAAAAAAAAAAAAAAAAAAAAAAAAAAAAAAAAAAAAAAAAAAAAAAAAAAAAAAAAAAAAAAAAAAAAAAAAAAAAAAAAAAAAAAAAAACUUGUAUCUUCAGUUAUUUUGCGUGUUAUUUAAUUUGUAAAUUGUGAAGUACAGGUAAUAUUAAAAUUAGGUAAUUCUAAUAUUUUAAUAUUUGUAAAUUAAGAUGUUAAAUUUAUUUGAUCUAAAUUUUAAAAAUAAAAAAAAGCUAAUAUGGCAGCGUACUUAACUAAGCGCUAAAAAGAAGUUGUAUUUAAAUAUUUAAAUUUAUAAAUGUGCUUCUACAUAAAAAGAAUUGUGCAUGUUAAUUUGUUUAAUUAAUGAAUAAGCAUGUUGCUUACUCAAAAUAAAUACAAAUAAUUUUCUUGUGUGCUCCUUAAUUUAUGGUAUUAUUUAUAAAAAAGAGGGUAAAUAUUUUUUUCUUCACUUUUUUACCAUGUCUCACGUAUCGUAAAUAGUCCAAAAUUGUAAAUAAAAGCCUAAUUUAUCCCCAAAAAACUAAUAAAAUAAAAGCCAAAUAAAACAAAUUUCUGAUACUCUGUAUAAAAUUAAAUAAGCUUGAUAUUAUUAUGAUAAUAAUAUCACCAUACAUGAUGAACCGAACAUUAAGAUUGCAUAAUAAAUAACAACAACAAUAAUAAUAAUAAUAAUAAUAAAAUGAAGCUCCUACUAAUCUAAGAUAACUUAAUUUCUUAAAUAAUAAUUAAUAACUGAAUUGAGCUUCCGCGAUGCUUUGCUCAACGUACUUAUAAUUUUUUAGCCGCCGGUGCAGCAGUAAUAAAAUAGACGUAAUGAGACACCGUAAGUAGUGCUGAACGGAUUUUGAGUCAAUUCGACGGUUAAACUUUUACUAAAUUAUGGAUGAGCCAUCUUGCUCCCAUGCAGUGCUCCCCCCUUAUUCCCCUUCCUAUGCCUCCGGUGGCCGCCGCCACCGCGGCCGCNGGCUGGCCUCGGCGGGCCCGCCGAGCGUGUGCGCGAGCACCGACAUCACCUUCGACUGCCGCGCGAUGAGCCCCGUCGUUGCCGGCUCCUGUGACAGCACGAUCUCAUAGCCGUCGUCGUACGAAUCCAUCCCCUCCGCCAUGACCUGCCACACCAGGCCGCCCGCCAUCGACCCCCCGCCAGACCGCGCGAAGCGGUAGAUGCUCCGGUACACCGUGUCGAGGUACGAGUCGCGACCGUCGACGGUGUAGCCCGGGUCCUUCUUCGACUUGCCGAACUCCGCGAAGACGAGGGGCUUCUGCAGGAUCCGGCGUGCGUCGUCCCAGUGGCUCCACAUCCACCGCUGCACGAAUGCAGUUUGGGCAUCGUCGGUUUGGCCGGAGAGCCUGACAGAGAGAGAAAAGAAGGUAAACUUACAUUUUGUUUAAAGUUACUCUCUCUCCAACUGUUAUAGUUAGAACGGUGUUACCGCUAUAUUUGGAUUCGCUUAUGCAGUUUCAACUGCUUGUAAAGACACAUUAAUUCUCCACCGACUUAAGAUUUAGAGAUCGAACAACAGUUGUUUCUUAUUAUUUAAUAUGAUACUAGGGCAAAAAAAUCUUGAAUUCGAGUCACAAGUUAGAGUCACUUCAGACUCCUAGUUGAUUUUCUCCUAUUUAAUCUGCGUUUACAUCAUGAAUCUAAUCAAAAAUUCUUGAAUUCAAACGUAAGAAGGAAUAGUGUUAAAUAUAAAAAUAUAAAAAUACAAUUGUUGUUUCGCAUUAUAUAACACUACAGUAGUUGAAUUCAAAUAUAUCAAAUUAAAUGCCCGACUUGGAUUUGGAUGUAGAUGCAAUUAAGUGCAACCAAGGAGCACCUAAUAAUUAUAUAUAUCUCUUAUUGUUUUCACUUUUAAGGGUGUAUUUACAUAUAUUAUCCUUCAAAAUCAAUUUUUCAUUAUAGAGUAUACUAUUACAAUUAAUUGUCCACUAAAAAUUGUUGAUAUGUUGGCAUGUUGAUGUGUUAUACUUAUAGAUUAAUUUUUAUUUUUAUUUUAAAAGAUAUGCAUAUAUUAGCUAAAAAUAAACUUCAUAGGAAGUUCAUUUACAAAGAAAAAUUGGACAAUUAAUUCCCUUGAUUUUUUAUGGUACUAUUGAACCAAAAUGCACCUUCCAAUAAAGGGUACAUAUAUGGAAACAUAUUUGUAAGUAAAAAUACAUAUGGUUUUGGAUGGACAUGUGCACAAAAGCCUAAAAAAUAAUUAAUGGUGGUGUUAUUAAUUAGUAUAUAUGUUUGUUGUUAAUUCAGUUAAAUAACAUAAAAUAACCAUUAAUUGUGAGUUUUUUAAUAUAGGCUCGAUUUGAACUCAGAAUCUAUUGCUAUUGCUCGUUCGAAUACCAUAUUAAAUGACAUAAAACAAUCGUUAUUUUUCAAAAAGCUCAAGUUAUAUAUUAAAGAACGGUAUGUUCAAUACUUAUAUUCAGUAAUUACCAUAUAUCAGGGUAUGCGUGGAUGGUCGCAAAAUCUAUCUCCUUGAUGAGAUUACUAGUAAUAUAAUCCGUCCCAACUUGGUACCCGGGAUUGUACUGCUUCUUCUCCGGCAUGGAGUCGCCAUAAAAACCCUCCAUACCGGCUUCGAGAAGGUGCUUCUCGUCGAGCGAUUUCGCGUAAGUCGACAUCUCUUGUAUCCAUCCCUGCUCAUAUGCAAAUGAAAAUUACUAUUAUGAUAUAAAAAAGAAACUAUGAUAUGUGAAAAUGAUAAUGUAUGCAUGCACGUAUGUACGUACGUGGUUUUACGUACAUACAUAUACAUGAAUUUUUCGUAAAAAAUCUUACUAGAAAUAAAUAGUUGUUUCGCAUUAAUUAAUUUGAUGAAUUAUUUAUUUGUUAGUAAUAUAAUUAAGGACAUAGAAAACACCAAUUAUUACAUUAAUCAUUUUCCCAGAGUAAUCUGAUUGGCAACGAGGUUCAUUCAUUAGUUCCCAUGCCAUGAUUGUUGAGUCAUCCUUGUAGGCCAUGUUAGUCAUUGUGUUGAUCCUUGUUAACACUGUCUGAAAAAAACAAAAACAAAAAAAAAAAGAAAAAAAAAAGAAGCAUUAAUAUUGUAUAAAUUUUGAGUAAUUUUGCAUGGAAUAUAUAUAUAUAUAUAGCAUUAUUCAAUUGAUCAACAUAUAUAGUAACCUUAAGCUCACCUUUACAUGGUUCUUGUAGUAUCCCUUCACCACUUCAUUUGUAUAGAAAUCGUCCUCCCCGUUCACCGGCGCCGCUCCCGCAUUCUGAGCCCACUGCACGUACUGCGCCCUACCGCCAAAGUCCUUGAAGUUGUUCACUAAGCUCAGGAUCAAGCGAAUUCCGUACUUUUGUGCCUCCGAGAUCACAAAGUCAAGUCCCUGAUAUAUAUAUAUAUAUAUGCAAAGUAAAUGAAGAGUUGUUUAAAUUCAUACUACUCUUAUAAGUUGCUGAUGUGCUGGCAUGUAGGUAACUCUUUUAAUCACCUGGAAAACGAAUUCAUUGUACACGCCAGGCGACACCUGGAGGGCGCGAUCGCCACCGUCGCUAAACGCCCACGUCCGACACACGGUGAGCCCGUUCGCCGCCGCCUCGCGAAGCACUUCGGUGACCUUACCGCGCUCCGCGGGCUCCGCCGCGACGUGCAUCAUCCAAUAAGAGUUGAACCCAUUGAACAAGAAUGGCUGGCCAUUGAGCACAAACUCAGUCCCUUGAACCCCAACAAAUUGAUCACCAUAGGUGGCCUCACAAGUUAAUGCCACAAAAGUAAUCAAAAUGUGGAAGAGUUUGUGGGUAAAAAUGCUUCGGUUGGCCAUGUUGGUUUUGGCUAAAGUUUGUGUUUGUGGUGUGUUCAUGGGUUUAAGUUGAGGUGGGUAUUUAUAGAGACCUAUAAAGAGAUCCACACACACACACGCACACACACACACACACACACAAAAAGAGAGACGAGGGUAGGGUUUCGUGAUGAAGAGGAGAAAAAGGUGCAAGAUUUCGUGGGGAUAUUCGGUGGUCUCGUUAUAGAAGAUAAUGUACGUGGCUCUAAAAUUUAGAGGAGUUUUGUAGGAGAAAUUAUUGCGUGCGCCAAGUGCACAUACAGUAAUGGCAGAUGUGAGGAAUCGAAUUUAGAACCUCCUAACACGAAGGGAGCUCAGAACUGACGGUGAUACUAUUUAUAGGACAAAUUAUUGCGUGUGCGAUCGAGGUGCAUAUAUAGUACAUUUCAUAUAGUAACAAAUGUGAGAAAUCAAACUCACGAUCUCUUAAAACGGAGGGAGUUUCGAACUCACUGUAAUAUCAUGUUAAUCGCCGAAAGAUCAAACUAUAGUGAGAAACAGCUUAGCACCUUAAAUGAUACUCUUCUAAACCACUAAUUUUUGGAACUAUUUAAUUGUCGGUAAUAGAUAUGUUUACAAACUAUAUAAAUUUUCAUACAUGGGCUUUUUAAGUAAUAAGAUCGUAUCUGUUGAAUUAGAUUUUGAUUUUAAUGCAUGCAUUUGGUGAUCAUUUAUUGGUGUGGUGUAAAGAGUGUUAGUAUGCACCGGGUGCACGAAUAGUUUCUCUAUUUUAGAUUGAGAGCGUGGGAUUGGUGGGCGGGAAAAGUGGGGGGAAAAUUAAUUAGAACGUGCAAAUUCAUACUAAAAACUACUUAGCCCAUGUGGGCCGUUAUGUGACGUGACAAAUAAUUAAUUGCGUGCACCGUGGUCUAUAGACCAAUGAGUGUUUUUUUUUUUUUUUGAAGAAAAACUAAAACGACUUGUACACUCCAAAAGAGGAGUGUAUAAUAUACAUCCACUCAUUUUAAGAUUUAUAAAUUUUUUUUAUAAUUUUUUUAAAAAAACACUUACACACGCAACAAGUGCUUUGUUUUUGGCUAAAUUAUAAUUUUUGGCCCUAAAUUAAACUAUAAGAUUCGUAAUGCUUUAGUUCUCAAAUUUUAGUUCGUUCUCUAAUUUUCGCCUCAAAUUUUAUAAAUUAUUAUAAUCAAGUUUCUCAAUUUAGUUUAGUUGACAAAUACUAAGGUUUCAGUGAUAUAUAAGCGAUGUAGUAUCUUAAUUAUUAUCAUAUCAUUAAUUACAGUAUUACGUACAUUAGUGGCAAUUAAUAUUUAGCAAAUUAAACUGUAUUAUAAACUUAAUUACAAUAAUUUUAAAAAAAUUGAGUAAAAAAUUAUAAACAAGUUGAAGUUUGAGAACCAAAGCAUAAUAUAACUUUUUUUUUUCUUUUGUAAACAAGCUCGUAAGUUUGAGCAUGGACACCCACACAUACACACGAUAAUCAUGACUCAAGCGUGAUUUUGAAUUCAAAACCUCUUGCUCAGAAAAGAAGGUUCUUAUUUGUAGAAAAGUAGCACCAAAAUUCGAUCGCAUGCGAUUCGGAAAUAUAACUUAAAUUAUGUGAAAAAUUAAAAGUGAACUCAUUCUUAAAUGCUACCGAAAAUCAAAAAAUUUUUUUUUUUUGAGAGAGAGAUAAAAUUGUUUUUUUUUUUUGAGAGAGAGAUAGGUAGCACGCUAUCCGUUUCGUUUAUUUCAUUUAGAAAUAAACUUAGCUAGAAAUGUGAAUCAACUAGGAUUCGAACUUGGGUCUCGGGUACCAACCAUCAAACCCUUUUGCCACUUGCGCUAGGGACGGUCGGUAAAAUCAAAAAAUUGUAGAAGAGGAAAAACAUAAAAUCAAGGGAAAAUAUCAAAAACCCCCUUGUGGUUUCAAUUUUCUUCACUUUAGUACCCUGUGGUUUAAAAUAUAUCAAGUUAGUAUCCUGUGGUUUCUCACUUUAUCACUUUAAUACCCUGUGGUUUAAGGUGUAUCAAGUUAGUAUCUUGUGGUUUUGCACUUUAUUACUUUAGUAUUCUAUGGUUUUAAUUGUAUAUCAAGUUCGUAUCCUAUGGUUUUUUAAACCAUAGGGUACUAAAGUGAUAAAGUAUUUCACACUUUAUCACUUUAGUAUCCUGUGGUUUUAAUUUUGUAUCAAGUUCGUACCCUGUGAUUUUUUAAACCAUAGGGUACUAAAGUGAUAAAGUGUGAAACCACAGGGUACUAAAGUGAUAAAGUGCAAAACCACAGGGUACAAAUUUGAUACACCUUAAACCACAGGGCACUAAAGUGAUAAAGUGAGAAACCACAGGGUACUAACUUGAUACACUUUAAACCACAAGGUACUAAAAUAAAAAAGUGUAAAACCACAGGAGGGGUUUUUAAAAUUUUUCCUAAAAUCAAAAUUGAUUUAGAAGUGCAUAGUAUACUGGUCUAAGACGCAUUUUCGUCCAUCAUGCUGAAUUGAGUAGAAACACCGCCUUAAAAUACAGCCAAAAUUUCUCCUUCUGCGAGCACGAUAGAGUAGGUAAAGACUGCUUUCCAUAAAUCAAGCAUGAGAGGAACGCUGGACAACGUUCCUUACGACGCCGUGCCCGUGUCAGACUUCUGUUUGAACCUAAGAAAAGAAACCAAAUAAUAAUAAUAAUAAUAAUAAUAAUAAUAAUAAUAACAAAUAAUGAAUAAAUAAGUAAAUAAAUGUUAAAAAAUAAUUUAAAACUCAUAGAAAAAUUUCGGGUUUUUUUUCUAACAUCUAAGAGCUGUUUGAUUUCUGUAAAAAGCAUGAAACAAAAAUGCAAGAAAAAAGUUUUUGAUGAAAAAUCUCAUUUUUAGUUUUCCGCCCGUUUAGUUCCAAAAAAACUAUUUUUUUUUUUUAAAUAUUUUCAAAUUAUAUGAAAAACCGGCAUUUUAGUUUUCCUAAAAAAAGCUGAAAAAUAAAAAAUUAAUUUGUCAUAAAAUUUGAAAAACAAAAUUUCACCAAAAAACUAGUUUUACUUGAAACCAAAUUUUUUUCAUGAAAAUAUUUCAUGAAAAAAAAAAUUUCCAUGCUUUUUGGGCAAAAUAAACAUGCCCUUAAUUACCAACUGGACAAUAUAUUGAUCAAUUAUAUUAAUUUGCUUGAAUUGAUCUGCAAUUCUUAUAUUUAAUUCCUUGUUUGUUACGUAUGAGUUAUUUUAAUACUGUUGAUUUUCGUGACUAUAAUGCGUCGUAGGUUUUUUUUNUAACAAUCGCAUCUAAUAAAGUAUUUUUCAUAUAAAAAGUUAAGGAGAAAAAAAAUAAAAUUCAGAGCUCUAAAUACAAAAGCCCCGAUACCAAUCUCUAAUAUUGAAACUUUUAAUAGCUCUUUCCCUGAAAAUAUGAAUUUGAAUUUAAAAUUUAAAUACAAAAACUAAAUUUUAAAUCUAAUUUUGAAAAUCAAAAUCAAAAUCGGAUUUUAGGAAGUAGACUUUAACUGCUUCUGAUUUUGAGUCUCUAAAAUUAGAAAUUUGAUUCCAAAAGUUACAAUUCGAUUUUAUAAAAGAGCUCGUCAAACCCUCUGGACGGAAUUUAUUCAGAGAGUUCGACCCGUCCCACCAUGACCCAAUGUAUAAAACAAUUCAGUUCGACCCUUUGAACCGAAUAUAUAAAUCGAAAAAAUCGCUCUAAACAAUUUGAGUCGACGGUUCAACCAUUAAACCAAUGAACAUAUCCAAUUUUAAUCAAACCAGCCGAAUUUUUUUAUCAAACUAUAUUAAAAUUCAACGACUUAAAUUCAACCUAGGUGUUUUUAUUUUAUAUUAGCAUAGAUAAACCAGUAGACGGUGAAACUUGAAAUUUUAUAUCUACUUAAUUUGGUCUACAAUAUUUGUUUCUAUAUAAUACAAUUUUAAAAAGCAAAUUAAUAUUUAGGGCAUUGUGUUGUCGUCAUUGAUUCGAUCGGUGGCUCAGCUACUGGAGGUGACUCUUGAUUCAAUAAUGAUAUUUUUGAAUCACGAUGCGAUACUGGCUUACUGUCACACCCCGCUUUACAGCGGAAGUUCGAAUUACGUCAACAGACCCGCCGUAUGUAUAAGAAUACGGACCGUACAGUACCACGUAACAAUUUUUUCUUUUUGUGAAAAUCAUACGUGGGCUACAUAAACAGCUAAAAACGGUUUUACCCAAUUCGAGCAUAUCCACAUUUAAUAACUCCGCACCACAUAUUCAUUUAAGGAACUUUAAAGCGAAAGAAAAACGGUGUAUUUUUCCGCUCACUGCUUUAUGCUGUUAUGUAUCAACUAACUACUUUUGUCAAAGGAGGAAGGGGUAAAGUUGGAAAGGAAAAAAAAAAAAAAAAAAAAAACUAUGUCGUAAUAAAAAACAAAAGUCGGAAAGUGAGAAAUUUGUGAGUUUAACGAAUCAGAUUUUGUACUCUUCAGGCACUGAAGUCGGAAUGUCGAUCUCUAUACGAUUAUGGUGGAAGUUCAGGUUCGGUGUCGAACAAAUGCGAAAUCGCAAGUGUCGGAUCGUUGGCGCUAUCCAGUAAUCCCAAAAGCUCGUGUUAUUAGAAAUACGCAAUCAAUUCACUUAAAACGUAUAAAUGCAGCGCUCAGGAGUCUCGAUUGUGACUCGGUCUAAGCAGCCUCAUGCCACUUCGAAUAUGACUUGGCACAAUCCAAGCUCCCGGCAUUUAAAACAUAUCUUCCGCCUUUUUAUUUUGAAUUUGGCUAUUUCAACACAUGUUAAACUUUCCACCAACCACUAAAUCGAUUAGUACAUAUCUUCUACCCAGAGCACUGCUGGGUCUCUACUUUAAUUCGCGGUUAGAGUUUGGAUACAUAUUAGGGAUGUCAGCAGAUCGAAUUCGAGGUGAAUUUUUUGUAAAAUCUGAACCCAAACCUAAACCGGAUGGAAUUUGAAAAUCCAUAUCCAAGCAGGAACAUAGCCAAAAAUUUUAAAUCCGAACCCGAAAUAAUUAUUUCUCUUUACCAUAAUUCAAAACUUAUUAUAUUAAAGACUAUAUUUUAAAAUACAAUUUUAAAUAUAACAUCAAAUAUUCAUAUAUAUUUAGAAAAAAAUGUAAAAUCAAUUCGGAUUCGGGUCGGCUCGAGUUCAGGUUCCAAUUGGGUAGGUAUAAAAUUCAUACCUAAAUUCAAAUCCGUCGGAUUUUUUUUUUAUACCCAUAUUUGAAACCAUAUCCAUUUAGCAGCAAGUAAAUUUCAUCCGCUCAGAGUCUAGUUCUGACAAAAUUCGGACAAAAUUUCGAGUAUCCCCAUAGGCCCAUACCCAUUGACAUUUCUAAUCCCUAUAGACAUAGUUUUUAUUUUUUAUUUUUGGAUGUGAAAUAGUUGGACUCAGCCCAGUUUAUUAAUUGGACCUAAAAGGGCUUUGGGCUAUGGAUAGCGAAGUGUCAUGUACUAUUCUUUUAUAAAAAUUUGCUCCCGCUCUGUAGCGUAGGUCUCGAUUUCAAGGCAUGCUUAAAAAUUGAACAAAUGUAUGCAUGGUGUCUAUAAAUUUAUGUUUUAAAAAAUGUAUACUAUAUAACUCGAAGUUUUUUUUUUUCUCCGGGGGUGAGGAUGAUACUUUGGUCAUCAAAUUUUUGUUUAAUGUAAUUUUUAACUCCAAUUUUAUAAAAUAUUAUAAUUAAAUUUUACAGUCCAAUGAAGCUGGUCAAAAGCUGAUAUUUUGUCGAUGUGACUCUAAAGUCAUCCGCCAUAAUAAUCUCACAUCAUUAUCAUAUCAACAACGUGUUAGUGUUCGUCAAUUAAAUUGUAUUGUAGGACUUGAUUAUACAGUUCAAAUAAGCAAUAAAUUUAAGUUUGAGGGCCAAAAGUGUAAUUUAGCCUUCUUCUUUUCUUUUUUUCUCUAUAUUCAUAAUAAGCUAAUGGACCAAUCCAUGGCCAUGAUUAAGGAUUCAUUACAACCAUCACUAAUCAUCAACUACUUAACACGCACCUUCUCAAUUAAUUAAUGAGUUAAUUAAUAGUUAAUAAAUUAUUUGUCUUAUUCAUGGACAACAGAUAAAACUUCAGUGGGGAGUUUUCUAGCAACAACUUUUUAGGAAGUUCCCGAUUUGCCGUCGCGCACUAAUUUUAUCUUAUAUCUAAUAAUUUAUUAACUAUUUUCUAAUAUUAAAUUUUUAAAAAAAAAUUAAACUUCAGAAAAAAAAAAUUAUUAUAAUCUUUAGAUAGUGAUAAAAAUGACUUGUGAUAAGAACAAAACGUCGUCGGAGAACUCUCCACUUAAGUUUUUUUUUUUUUUUUUUUUUUUUUUUUUUUUGAAAUUGUGGGGUCCUUAACGAAGCGUGUUGAUGUUUUUUUUCCUUGAGGAAACUUCUUUGUGGCAUCUCCUUCCACGUCACAAAAAGGUAUCUUCUACGGAAUAAUCUCAUUUUCUACAUCUCUCUCAAUAAUAUCUUUGGAUCUUGUCCCCAUCUCUCUAUUAAAAAAAAAAAAAAAAAAAAAUCUUUGCUUGCACCUGGUGUACCCAUAUGCAUCAUACACUGCACCUAAUAUUUAAUAAUUAAUUUUAAAAUUUUAAAUUGUCUUUAAAAAGCAAAAAUAAAUUACCACCACAUAACUUAUUCCGACACCCAAAGCCUUUAGGUAGUGUUUGGUUCGGGAACAAGGGGGGGAAUAAGCCCUUGUUUCCCCCUUUGUUCCCAAACGCAAUGUUUGGUUCCCGGGAACAGUAGUUCCCGGGAAUCUGGAACUAGCUGGUAUAAGACUGGAACUGCUGUUCCACCCGUUUUCGGGAACAAGCUAGUUCCUUGAUGAGAACAAGAUUAAUUAAAAUCUAAAUUUAAUUUUAAUGACAGUAAAUUAUUAAUUAAUCUAAUUAAUAUAUUUAAAUCAUUAUUUAUUACUUUAAUAAUUAAAUAAUUUAAAUAAUUUAUUAUUUAUAAUUAAAUAUUAAUAAUUAGAUAAUUAUUAUUAUUAAUUUAUUAUUUAUAAUUAAUUAUAAAUAAUUAAUAAUAUUCAUUAUUUUUUUAUUAAUAAUUAUUAUUCUUAAUGACAAUCGAUAUUAUUAUUAAU